RNAcentral lists this long non-coding RNA (58776 nucleotides) under Physcomitrium patens. RNAcentral describes it as "long non-coding RNA (PPAT_LNC000633)". Lineage: Eukaryota; Viridiplantae; Streptophyta; Bryopsida; Funariales; Funariaceae. The record is from RNAcentral.
GUUAAAAAGAAACCAGUACAAUGGCUCACUUUUUGCAUUUAUGAGACUAGCUCACAUAAAAUCAUGUCAUGAGCAAAAGCUUACAAAUACAUCUACAUAUACAACCAAUCAAUCAGCCAUGAAGGAAUCCAACCUGAAGACCAUGACGAUUGUAAGUGAUUCGGCAACAAACUCUAUACUGAAGAAGUACACGUAUAAAAUCAGUUUUCAACCAUGCUUGAACAGCAGCAAAGCAUUCUUUGGUUUAGGCAAAGGCAAGCUGUGAGAGCAGCACUAGAAGAGGCAAAUAUCAAAGAGAAGAGGACAUAAAAGAGGGGUUGGACAGGCUAUCCAUGAGACAACCAUCCACUCCACAGCCAGCCACAACACAAGAGUGAGGAACAGUACGCCAUAAGGCAAUGGAUCAAGAAGACACAUCAAUAUGACUUGGUUUUGGAGAAAACUCUGCAUUGUGGAUGCACACCUAAAGCAGAGUAGAUUUGAAAAAGCUAAAGCGAAAGUAUAGGACAGCUCAUCAAAGAGUUGCGGGACCUGAAAGUGAAUUCGGGGAUGAGGGCUGAGACGGGCUCUGUGGCCUCGUUGUCGCUCUUCGCAGUGUGUCUGUGUGCCUGCCUGCCUGCCCUGCCGCGCCGUGCUGCGCUGUGGCGCUGGUGAGGGUGGACGGGGGACGACAGGGCUGGGUUGUGGGGGGGGGGGGGGGUGUGUGAGAGUAAUAAUAGGCAGGCUCAGCCGACCUCCAACUCGUGCUGGUCCUCGUCCUCAGAACGUUCUAGGUUUCGUUGCCUUGGCCACACUCCAGCACAGGCAUCACCCUCUGCACUGCUCUGUUGUGCUCUCUCGGCACCCAAAUACACACCCUCUCACACCCACGCAACACCCUCUUCCUCCGCUUCUCCCUCCCUCCCUCCCUCUUCUUCCUCCUCCUCCUCCUCCGCUGCCUCGGCCUCGUAAGGCGGUGUGCCCUCUCAAUCCCCUCCCUCCCUCCUUCCUCUCCCUGGAUCGCCGCCUGCCUUCAAUUUGCUGUGUUUGUCAGCGGGUGAAAGCGUGUCGCGAGUGAUUGGGUCGCGCUGAGUGUGUGCGCUUGGGUUUGGCCGGGUGUUGUGGAGUCUGUGUGGGUUUGGGUUUGGGUUUGUUAGUGGGAACGCGGGUUCGUUGGAGCACCUGCUGCGCGGCUAUGGCGGAGAACCAGGCGAGUCUUCUGUUGCGGAAGCAGUUGAAGGAUUUGUCUAGGAAUCCCGUGGAUGGGUUCUCGGCUGGGCUUGUGGACGACUCGAGUGUGUUCGAAUGGAACGUGACCAUUAUCGGACCGUCGGAGACUUUGUACGAGGGGGGUUUCUUCAACGCCAUCAUGAGCUUCCCUCCGGAUUACCCCAACAGCCCUCCAACCGUUAGGUUCACCUCCGAGAUGUGGCAUCCGAACGUGUACCCUGAUGGGCGCGUGUGCAUCUCCAUUUUGCAUGCUCCCGGUGACGAUCCCAAUGGGUACGAGCUGGCGAGCGAGCGGUGGUCGCCCGUGCACACCGUGGAGACGAUAUUGAUCAGCAUCAUCGCCAUGCUUUCGAACCCGAAUGAUGAGUCGCCCGCGAAUGUCGAUGCCGCCAAGGAAUGGCGAGAGCAAAGGGACGAGUUCCAGCGCAAGGUGAGGAGGAUUGUGAGGCGGUCUCAGGAAUUCGCGUGAGGCAGUAACGACCCUGCAGUGGCUGCAAGAGGGACAUCCCCCCCACCCCCUCCUGAGCGAUCAGGUGUCGUGGCUUUGCUCCACCUUAGGCGUAGCUGUGGUAUGCACAGUGCUAUAACAGAAAUUUUCGAGGAAUGUGAGAAUGGGUGGGCGCUAAGUGGUAUGUUGUAGUGGAUUGAGAGAGUAGGGAUUCAACCCAUGUAAAGAUUACUAUGCACAGGAGGUCCUGGAGGUUGGCGGAGGAAAGCAAGAGAGCAUGGUUGUCGCACAGUGCAGGUCCGGGGUUGCGUUCUGAUAUGGGGCAAGGAGUUAUAAAGGGUGAAUAAACACAAUAUGAGUAGUCUUGCUCUCUGUCUGUUCCACACUCGCCUGUCAGCAUUUUCCAACCAUGUAUGCCAGCGCUGACAUGGCCAGUAUGUGCAAAUGCCUCGGGUUCUAAAUGCCUAUGUAUGGUACAACCUGACCUGUUGCCACAUAAAUGUUUCAAGGAUGCGUAUGUCAAGCAAUUUUACAGGAUAAUGCUGCCUCCGGUCUGUUGAGCGUUUUUGAUCGAUUACUGAGAUGCGCAGUGUGGUAAGACCAGCCGUCAUGAUUUUACAAAUUUGUAAAGGGACCUUUGUCCCAAAAUUUCCGUGCGAGAUUUGGAGAUUUUAGACAGGUGUGUAUGCCCUGCUGCUUGUGCUUUCAGCUACCAGUGAGUGUCUCGAUCGGGAUUUACGUGAAUAUCCUGACACGCAUAUUUAUCCUCUUGGGAUUUCUUUUAUUUGUGCGCUGUUUUCAUGCUGUCCUACCAGUGCUUCAGCAUUGGUCGCUCAUCAUUUAGCUUGGUCCACAGGAACGUUUGGCGUCCAUCAGACGCAGGUGACGAAUCUGGAAACCGUCCCAGGUUGUAGAAAAGCUAUGCCCACCUACUGAUACUUCCUGCACAUGAACGAGUCAGGCAUGUUGUGCCUGCUGUCACUACUCCUGGAGGCACAUUUUAACUCCCCCAUCUGUCAACAUUUACGUUAGUAACAUGCAAGACGCUUGAUAAAGCAGCAAGUAGUGCAGAAGUGCACUGCAAGUGUGUUCGGUCACAGAUCUCUGAUUCUCUGCUACGAUCAACAUAGUACUUGGACAAUGGUGGCCGCAACAAUGUAACAGGAGGCGGUUUCUUAAUGUCCGCCAAGGUCAUGCCUGGAUGUCUGGCAGACUUAAUGCACAACUGUCCAUUCAUUUAUCGAUGUUUUCGUGCUUACAGGUCAGAGAAAAGAUGGGAGAAAACUAUGACUAUAUCUUACACUAUGAAUUAUUCUCACAUAUGAUCACAAAAUUACGAACUACAAUCUCAAUGUAGCCUAGCUGCGACAGAUAGUAAAGUGGUGACAAAUAUGCAUUGUCAGUUAUCAGCCAUGGAAAAGCCCCACAUUAUGAUAAGUUGGAAUCUUUUUGUAAUUUCGAAUGCCAAGAGUAUCAAGAUAAUUCAUGUGGGGUGGUGCGACACAAGAGGUUGACAGUGCCGUAGGCUACACGAUGAGAAACAAUCCUCUUCUUGUUUGGAGAAAAUCCUCCAAACACAUUCGGUCUUACGCUAAAACCUUCGAAUUCAUAUCUCUAAUCGAAUUCACCGUCUUGUGUUAUGUGGACGCUCACUAUCGUAUAGCUAUUCUCACCUCAUUAUUACUGAAAGGUGUCACUGAGAAGGAAGAUAUUAAAAUCUGGUGUACUAAGGUGUAUAAAGAUUAGCUGCGUCACACGGAUCAUUCUAAAAAGACAACCACGUGGCUAAUCCCAUUCAAAUGUGUGCCCUAACUUCAACAAAGAGUUGGCGCAAUGCGUCGGAUUACACUUCAGAACAACUUGACCUUUUUUUACACGUACUAAACACAAGCUACUCGAAAUAUUACAAGCAUAAAUGCUUUCAAGCAUACAGAUUCAAACAAGUCCAUGUAUCUCAGUUUGAAUUGAAGGGUAUUGUGUCACAGGAAUCACUCUAGGGUUACAAGCUCAUCAUGCCAAUAACACCCUCUUUCAAUGAAGUUGCAACUAAUUGCUGACGACUCCAACAAAGAAGCCAAAACCAAAAUAAGAAUAAGAAUAGUCUGCAAACCACUUUGCUUCCGUCCCUGCAUCAAUUAUCAGCUUUAGUUUCUUCGAGAUCCAUGACUAGUUCUCUUCAGAAUCUCAUGUUUGAAUUAGGUUCAUCAAACAUAUUCACAAGGAACUGUGUCGCAGCCAUAUUUUGAAGAGUUUGAAUCAGUAAGAUGCCGCGGCCCACGUGAUCCCCAACAUAGUUGGAAUGUACUAACUGUCUGUGGAAAUAAUGCUGAUGGUCGUCAUCAGGUCCGUAAUCACCAGUGACGAUCCUUCAGACGCAGCUUUAACUUGUAAAUAUUUGACGACAGCCAAUUGGGGGUACACUAAAGUGUACAACAAAAUGCAGGUGAACUCAAAUAAAGCCGUUCAAGAACACUUCUGCUGGUGGUAAGAGAGACUCCGCAUUGAAGCAAAGCUUGGUGGAGAAACCCUUCCAUGCAAUGCUGCACAGUCCGUCCUCAGCAUUCCAAAAGCUAGCCUUUCAGAGAAAACGGAGACCUGAGAUCUUUGCAUCUGAAGCCGCUUCAGAUAUCAUUAAAUUUGUCAGUAAACUAUUUCAUCUGCAACUUUAAAUCGCUAAAGCAUGAAGUGUGACUCAACAACUUGAAUACUAGACUGUAUUUCAAAAUCCACCAAAUCUUCAUAGUAUAACAAUCAAUCUCAGAACCUCAAGCCAUGAAUAAUUAUAAACCCUGAUAAUAUCGAAUCAACAUUCUCACAUGCCGAAAUAGCUUCACUUAAAUUUGAACACCCCCCCCCCUUUCCAAUUCGUGGUUCUGCUUAGAUUAGACAACAAUUUCAUGAUGCCACGGACAUUAAUUUGGCAAACAAAGUCACUGAAUUGAAGCAAUUUAACUAGUAUGUGGUAAGAUGAGGCGCAGCCUAGUAGCCUCAAAUUCGCACAGUGGACGAUCACGGUGAUGCCAAGAAGUUGCAAUUCGUGGUUCUUUCUGAGAAGGACAGCGUUUUGAAGUUUGUUCAAUCCAGGUGCAGUAGAAAACAGGCAGUGCGAAGUGAAGUUUUAAAAUAUCCGGAGCUUUUGAUCGUUCAGUGUCUUGAGCAUUCACAUCGAAUGACGUCGACCAAGAAAUUAACAUUGGACGGUUAGGAGCCUAUUCCAGCUAAAGGGACAACCCACAGUCCUGCAGGCAUGUAAAAGACCAGGUUAACACCUUCGAGCAUCAUGAAUGAGAGCUUUCGAUGGGAAGUGGAAAGUAGCUCCGACGAUGGACCACGCAUUACAACCCUGACCGACGAAUAGUAGUGAUGGGACUAAGUUUAGAGCCAAGAACAUGAUCAAACCAUACCCCUGAAUCAAUUAACCAUGCGCAGACACAAAACGAAAGGGCAAACCUUCCCCACGAAGCCAUGGAGACAUGGCAAGGCAAACUGCAACUUCUCUUGAGAUGGAGACCAUAAAAUAACAAAGCUCAUCUGCGAGUGCUUCACUCAAAGAAUAAUUCAACGCUUGUAUCCCUUCUUGCAGCAGUUUGAGCCCUGCACAGCUCGAGAAACAAAGCUUCAACAAGUUUUUGUGUGGGAAAGAGAUAGAAUUGUCUCUGAGCAUGUGCUGGGUCAUACAUUUCUAGGAACGAAACCCACGCCACAUCUCACCAGAGUGUUUAUCGUUAUGAGCCAAAAAACUUCCUUUAGAUUACUUGUGAGGUUUGAAACAAGGAUUUACAGCCAAUGUGACCUGAAUGUACCGCUUCUCGUCCGCUUCAAGAGCAGGGCUCCUUCUUGUGAGCAACCCACCACAGCUCGAAGAGUUUCUCCAAAAAUCUCUCAACCUGGAAUCUACAUCAAAAAUCUGCUAAACUAAAUUCCCAUCAGAAUCAAACGGGCGUUACCUCUCCCACUCUUCGAAGCAUCCUAGCGCAGCAACAGAGAAUCCUCGCGGCAGACACUUCCAAGAACCCACAGAUUUUGGGCUUUCUUUCCUUCAUGUUGUAAGUGAGCUUGUCGAUUAACAGAGAGACUGAGAGGACCGUGAGAGGUCUCCGCUCUUACGGAGGUCUAUCGCGUCCAAUCUCUGGCAGCACAAAAAGCUUUCAAAUCACAUCAUCACCCAUCAGAAGUAUGAAUGCACCAGCAAAGCAAGUGGAAUACCACAUUGGGUGUGUGUCAGUAGGAGUUUCAGAAAGAGGUGAUGGUUUCAUGUUCUUAUGACGAUGAAAAGUGUUUUUCUACAGAGUGUCCGUGGCGUUUUUACAACCAACCUUCAGGGGGAGUCUGAGUAAGAGGAUGCAUUCUAAAAAAAAUUCACUAAGGAUUGAGGAUCCCAUAGGAGUGAGCCAACACAUGUCACCACAUAAUGUAAUUUGUUAGUGGGAUAGGGGAAAAUUGGUCCAUAUUUAGGAGGAAAGUUUAUGUGUGGGCAUCAAAUUGAGGGGAAAAGGUUGGGUAACAAGUUUGUUCAAAUUGAACAAAUUAAUGAUUUGGGAAUAUAGAAGAAGUUGAUGCCCCUUCUACCACUAGAGUGAAGUGUUUGUGGGAGAUUAAAUCAAAUGAACAUAAAAAAAUAAAAAUAAAACUUUUAAAAAUCAUGCUUUAUUUUCCUCUUAAUGCAACAAAAAAUAAUAAGUGUGCACCUUUUUUUAUUUCUAAUAUGAUUAUUGACAUCAACUGUGUCAUGCUAUUAUUUAUGUAUAAAUAAUAAUAACUGUUUUAACUAUAAACAUCAAUUUAACCUAAAAACAUUUCAGCACCCUAUAAUAUGUUGUGAAAAAUAGUUCUUUUGAUAAAUACAUAAAAUGACUAUAUCUAUUUUAUAGAUGAUCAUAUUAUAGUAUAUCCAAUAAAAUAUGUUGAAUGUGGUUUUUGUAUUAAUUUGCAAACAAAUUACAAUUUUUUUCUUCUUAUUAUUAAUAUGUGUAUACAUGUGUAAUUUUAUAUUUUUUUAUUCCAUAAUUUAUAAGAUUCAAGCUACUAAGUUUUGUGUCCUUUUUAUGGAAUGAAUUCAAUGAUUUCUAAUAAUUUGAAAAAUGUACAUUACAUCAAAUUUAUUUAUAGAAAAACAAGAAAAAUAUAUUUUUCAGAAAUACAAUAAUUCCUAUUGAAACAGCAGCUUAGAGAGGUGCUCUUCAUCUAGAUAACAUGAUCCCACCUUCACCCAACCACUUCCAGUCACAUGGUGACAUCCUCUUGCCAAAUCCAAUGACAAAUGAAAAGAUAAAAUGUAUAACAGGAAUUGUUGAAGGAUUUCCACAUCUUUUAAAAGAACGUUGUUGUGCUGCCAAGCCUCACCACAUACUGUAUCCACUAAAAACCAUGAGAUGGUCCAACAUCAACUCAUUUACCUUGAACUUAACAAAAUAAAAGUUUCACAUACGCUCAUUUCCUUGUGGCAACAUUCACAUCAAACCACUCCACUCAUAAGAAUACGGGAUGCACAUCGAAACUUAGCAGUGUGCUAAACUGAUUCAUGAAUGUAUUGAUUGCAACACAACUGAUGUAAUAAAUUACAAGGAAAAACUACCUUGUCUGCGCAAAUAAUCUGGCAUGCCACUAAACCAAGUGCUACCAUGAAUCCAAGACUUUUGGUGGACACAACGCACAGGUCUUCAGCGUUCUAAUGCUGAUAGGAUAUUGAAGCCACUGCUUCUCAAAAGCCGCCUAAAGUUCAGUGGCAAUGUUUCAAACAAAUCCCUCUACAGUGUAUACAGCAAAUAGUAACGAAAUAAAUCAAAUUCUCAAAUGAUCUUCAGAGGAAGCUCCUGGCUUGUGCGAUUGUAUGUCAUCCGGUAACCUUAGCCCCUGCAAGAAGAAACCACGUUGAAGGAAGAGUUGAGGUUACCAUACAAUUGAUAUGGAAAAAAAGUAUAUAACAACAAUAACAAUGAAUGAAAAAUCUUAACAGGAGAAUACCUUGGUUUCGACUGGAAAGAGCAACGUGGCUAUGCUUGCGAUCAAAGGAACCGUAGAAAAAAGAGUCACUGAAAGUAUCUGCAUCCAAACAAGCCCAUCAAGUCAGGGGUGCACAAAAUCUUGGAGAAUCCACUCAAAGAUGAAUAAAAAUAAAAAUAACGAAGAUUUAUGUUGCAUGAUUAUGGCAACUCUUCCUCGUCCGACUUCUGCCUCAAUAUUCAGCACAAAAAAGGAGAAGGUCAAGCCAAGUCAAGAAACCAACGAAGCAAAAGGCAUCAAAACAGCUGGUCAAGCUUACCCUGUGACCAUUUUUCAUCAUUUCUAUGGCAACGAAGGGGCACAAGAAACCACCGAUGCGACCGGCGGAGUUGCUGAAACCCAGGCCGGUAGAUCUCAGCUUAGUGGGGUAGAGCUCCGGAGCAUAAGCCCACAGAAUAGAAAAUGCACCCAUGAUACAGCUCCGAGCUCCAAACAUGAGUGUGGUGGUAGCCAUUUCCGAGAGAGGUUUCCAAAGAGGGGCUACAAAGAGGCCAGUUCCGAGGAGAAGAGCUCCCAUGCUGGCCUUCCGACCGUAACGUUCAACUGUCAGGCAAGCCAAUACCAGUCCUGGGAGCUCCGCCAAAGAGGUGAUUAGAACUGCUUUGUAGCUUGCAACGUCCGUUCCUGGCCUACCGUCUGUCAUACACCCAGCGUCCAUGGAGACAACCUCAUCGUGGGACUCGACGGGUAACUGGGUUGUCAGGAGCACCAGCCCAUAAUAGGUGAAAGCAUUGGCGAAAAAGAAUGUCCAUAAGAGGAUUGUUGUUAGCUUCAGUUCAGGAGAAAACAAUUGUUGAAUAAUGGACCAGGCUCCUUUGACUCCACCAUGAUUUGUGUCGCCACGAACCUCAUCAAGACUGUCACUCGGAGUAUUCACCUUCGAGGCCACCUUAUCUGAAUGAAUUGGACAUAUUAGGAACUAAAUCAAACCAACAAUAGAUGAAUAAAAACCUACCUGUAAAAUAAAACCAGGUCGAAACUAAAAUCUAUCAGUUACAUAAAAACCAAAAAAAAGGCGCACAUUUAAAGACUGGCCUCAUUUCAAUUAACGAUUGCGGCUCAAAUUAUAAGGAAUUUGAAGUGACGGCAGAAUGUCUUAAAAAAGACCUCGUCAAAAUUUGAGAUUGUACCAUUGUUAAUUUGAUGACAUGACUUAGCAAGUGAGAGGUUGCCAGUAGGCAAGGAUCUUCCAUUGAUAUAUGCGACCUGUCUUAAGACUUCCCGUGCUCCCUCUAUAUCCCCUUUGACCUGUUUACAGAGAUAAAUCACAACCAAUUAAAUAUCUAACAAAAGUUGAUGUUAAGAGUUAAGACUACCCCCCCUGCAAUCAGCUGCUAGACGCUAUUGGGGGAAGAGUUCAACUCUAUCAAACUGCAAAGAAAAGUAGUGUAGGCUUGUGAUAAGCGUACCAUCAAAUAUCGAGGAGACUCAGGAACCCAUGAGUAGAAAACAAGCAACAGCAGGAAUGGCAAGGCAGAAACUGCUACUAAUAUCCUGGAGAAAUUUUGCAGUUUUCAUCAACGUCAAGUCUUGCUUGUUGAGCAUUGUCAACAGAGCAUUACUGUUCUUUUUCAUAAAUUACAAAAGCAUAGGAAGUUUACAACAAUUAAGAUGUGCAUUGCUGUAGUGGUUAUAAUACAGAAAAUUAAUAAAUGCGAUCAUUUUACAGACCUCCAACUGUGAUUCGGUAAAAUAACCCAAGCCAAGAGGGCUGAUGAUACAGAGCCCACCUGAUACACAUCCAAAACAAUUCUUCAAAACGUUUCAAAACUAAGCUUGGGAAGAACCGCGAGAAAUUUUGAUGAUAAAUGUUGCUGGCUUGAUUAGCUAGAAAGAAGGUAGCCAAUAACAACUAGGCCUAAACUAGCAGGAAACGAAAUGACUAUCCAUAAAUUUGAAGACAACAUUUUCUAGCAUACUAGGUAAUGUACAUGUAUAAAAACAAGUAUAAGCAGUUAAAAGUUAACAAGCAAGCAAAUUAAAUUAGUCUUGUCACUUACCGUCCACAAGACAUUCAAGAAAACAAGCCAAAAACCUCUAGAGGAAGCUGGCAAAAACUCCAUACACAAGGAGAAGAUCACCUACAACAAAAAUUGCAUACAGAUUAGACCCACGAAUAUUCAGUUCCAAAAACAAAUCUCCAGAUCAAAAAUUCUAACUUACUCUUAAAUGUCGACACGAUAGUUUUAUAAGUUGCUUAAGGAUGUAAAAUGGACGUCAUUCAAAACACUUUAUUUUAAGACUUACUGAUGAGCCACCAAGUCCAAAACCAACGAGUGUCCGAGCAAGAAGAAGAAACCAAUAAGUUGGAGACCAAGCGCUGCAAUUAAGAAACCAUAUGUUCCAACAUUGAUCAGAUGUACAAGCUCACAAUUAUUCAGAGAACAACAAUCAACUAAAAGUUCACAUCAGGCUCGCAAGCUACCUUCAGAACCUAAUCUUGAGAAAGAUGGUAAGUGCGCUCCUAUUAUACUUACAAUGACACACCUUUGAAUAGAAAGACUUAGAAUAAGUAUAGAUGGAAAAAAAAUCCAAUAAAUCAAUAUCCACCUCCAUGACAAGAUGAACAUGUUUUCAUGGCAAACUUGCCUUAGUAACCCGAAGAAAAAAGUGAAAACAGCUGUAGCCAAAAAACCAACUCUGCGUCCUUUAAUGUCAGACACUAAUCCCCAUAUAUAAGCACCCCUGCGUAGCAACGAGCUUUAAAGUAUCAGUAACCAAGUUUAAAUACAGCUAGAAAGUUCACCUGAUAAUUCAUUGUAAAAGUAUCAAGCCUUGUCAUCAGUAAUACAAAAUGAAAUAGAAAAAGUAGGAAUAAGAUAUCUUGAAGCAGAGAUUGGCAAACAUUCCAAUAAAAGAAAAUCAUGAAGCAUACGAUAGGUAAUAGCAUUUACACAAAGAUUCCUACAAACACUGAACUCGAAAUGGCGCCUUCUUGGAAUGAAGGCAACCCCCAUUCGCACUUUGCCUGCAAUUAACAUUUCGCAUUCUCAGCAAAAUCCGAUAAGAAGCUACCACUUGAUCAAAAUUGUGCAACGCAAAAAUAAACCUCGAGUACAGACCGAUUGCUCAUUCCUAAGCAUUGGCAUAUAAACCUUAGAAAAUUCUUAGUAAAAACCAGUUUACCGCAGGACCGAUGAAAGACAACAGAAUCAUUUCUGAAGCGUCUGCCAGCCAAGCAAGGCCGGUGUAAGUCAGGAUUCCCAUCUGAAACUUGCCGAAUCCUGAACAAACAUUCCGACAAAUUUCAGAGUCAAAACCCGAAUAGGGAAGCUGCUUCUUAAGAAAAGCUUAAGCUCAGGAAGAAAUACAAUUAACGCACGUACAAGUACUAUAUCAAAAAUACCACGUCCCCCUGAAGCAAAAAAGUGCCAUUUGUAUAACCCAAAAGUUCGAGAAUGGAAGAAGGCAUAGAAAAUAAGUGAAAUACCAAUAGUCUCAAUGGUUUCUUCAACUGUAAUGUUGUCGUAAUUAGCAACUUCAUGGCUAACAGCAUCUGGCCCAGUAUACAAGUUCUGUGCCGAUGCCAACAAUUUCAAGGGUUGUCAUUCCAGAGUUGCUGCUUUUGAAAAACUUUGAUGCAUGCAGAAAACAGAUAAUACACCAACUUCACACAUAACCUCAUCUGAGCAAGUAUCAAACAUUCUGAGUGGCUAACUUCGGUCCCUUCCGAACUACUGCUCAGAACUCUAGAAUGCAAGCUCCUGAGCAUGAUACUAUCUUAAAAAUUGGUAGACGAAUCAUCCUAAACCAAAGCCAAAUCUAGUUGGAGCACAACUUUCGAGAUAUUCGAGCCCUCCAGAAUGGAAUGUAUGGUUGUGAUCUGGCAGUGGCGAAAAACAACGCCUGGUGAUAGGGUUCUUAUAACAUAGCAAUCGAAAUUCAAGCACACCAAAAGCACGUAGAAGAUACCAGCAGACGCAAAGUCUCGGAAAUUGGUUGGUUCGGAUCGACACGAUCGGUUAUCACACCGAGCUCCAUAUUUAAUACCGAGGACCACUCUUGAAGCCAGGAUCAAUGUUUCGGUGUGGCAACUAAUUUACUGCAGAUCUUGUCAAAACCUUUUGCUGCAUUCCCGAACUUGUUACUCAUCCCCUCGUAAUUUGCAUAAAGGAGAAGCGCUGUCAUUUAAAAAUAGUCGCCACGUCCUGAUAAAUUCCACCAAAAACAAUCUAGGUCUAAGUCGGAGGUGGAACUCGAGCAAUCUCGAAAGAGCACUGGAAUGAACUCAAAGGACUCCUGAUAGUUACUGUAAGCAAAGAGAAAAAAAAAUGAAUUUUGUGCAUCAUGAACAUCAGAAGCCAUUGCAACUCUUACACAUAAGCCACAGAAUGUAAGUAAAUGACACUUGAUCCACAUUUUCAAGAGAAACAAAAGCAUACGGACAAAUACAAGAGAUCGGGAAUGCGACUGCUAUUUUUCGAUCUCGCCUCACGUUAUGUGAAACCCAAACAAUGCUAAAGGUUUGGAUUUCAGUUGCUUUCAUUUUUUACAGAAAAUUGAGUCUCGAGGAACAAAAGCGUAUAGACAAUCUAAUCCAACAACGACUCAAAAUACCACGCACUCGAGGGGCCCACAAAAGGAUUGCUCGCUUGCUAGAUAUCCCUCAUGACAACCACCGGCGUUCUAAUCAGUAAUACCAAUCUUUCUCUUUCACCCACAUACUCGGCCGUCGAGCCAGCGCACCCAACAACUAACUCAAGCUAAUUCGUGCGCAUAGGACGAUCUCUGAAACUCCCAGAAGAGGAUCUCUGAAACACCUUCACACCUGGAUUCCUACACACUAGAUCCAGCAAACUUGUCUGUCUCCUGAGACGAAAAGAUUGUCUUCGUCAGUCCAAACCCUACUCAAUAAUAGUCUGAAGAACAGUCCAAGGUUUGCGUGGUUCCACUGAAAUCAGAUCUAAUUUGGCAUUCCUCAGAUAUCAAAGCAUGUGCUCCCAACGUUAUUGUCACAAGGCACAUGUAUCGUAAAAGCUUGCAGAUCUAAUGUCAAAGAGCGACAGUGGCAGUAUUGCAAUCUUACAGGGGCUCGGUUGAGAGGAGAAAAAAACAUGUUGCGGUGAAGAGCAUGGCAACUUUUUCUCUCUUCUUAGUCUUUUUCUAUUCUAAUAAUUCAGAUAUUUGGACUUUCUAAGAACCUGGCUUGUACUCGUGUCCAUGACGGGGCUAUAGUCGACGGAAACGACCUAGGUUUGCAAUGAGCAGUGGAUGGGGGACUUGGGUGGAUGAGUUGGCAUGUCGGGGUGUGUUGUUGCCUAAUGUAGAGUAAUCCCGAAUCACGCUCAUCUUGAGAAAGUGUUGUUAAACUGUAUCGAACAUGCAAGUGUAGGUCUGGUUGCUGUAUGGCCAGCUUUUGAAGAGGCAGGGACCUAAUUGCAAAGAGGAGUGAGUGGAUGAGAGAUGCAUGGAGCGAGUAGAGUUGUUGGCAUCGUCAAUUAAUCUAAGUGGGGGAAGUUCCCGUUAUUGAGAUGGGGCAAGCUCUGCAGAAAUUGCGAGGAGGUUCGGGAGGAGGAGCAGCAGCAGCGUUGCGAAGAGCGCCUCCUCCCCAGCAUCAUGCCAACAACACCAACAUCGACACCGCUGUUCGCCCGCCGCCAUCGCAACCUCCACAGCCUGUGCCCCGCCAGUCCGUCGAAGUGCGACCACAGGCUCCAGAGCCGCGUGAGUGGACGAACUUUUGGUUGAUUCCGAUGUAGAAUCGGAAGCUCGCAUCUGGGUAUUGUGGAUUUCUUUCAAUUUUGCAACGGAAGCCGACUUUUCAAUUUAGAGAUUCGCUGAGUUAAGGUCACUACACGUUACGUGGCUGUACCCCUGUGGUUGAUUGUGAGUUGUCUAACGUUGUUGAAUGUGAGAAUGAAUCAGAGCCCAUUAUUGAACCAGGAAUGCCAAUUCCGGGGGAGUGGAAUCGCGGAGAUCCCAGGUACUCAGCGAUGGUGCAGCAGGUGGUGGGAAAAAUUAGCACACGGCCUGGUGGAACUCAAGAGAUGGGCAAUGUAAGUGGAUUAAGUGCAACGUUUCUGUUCCAUCUUUGUGAUUGUCUAACUGCACAGUGGCGACGCAGAAAUUCAAUUUUCAAACAGUGUUGUCUUGGAACAAUACAAAAUUUCUCGCCGACUCGCUAGUUGGUAAACUGUAUCAAGAUCUCUGUUCUUAGAAAUAUCUUGUGUUAAUAGGUAACUUCAACAAUGGCUUGUUGAAAGAAGAUGAAUCCAACACGUCCACUCGAUUGCUUUCCACAUUUUUAUCUGGUGAAGGGUUUAGGGUUCUACCCCACCAGAUGUGACCGAGUCUUCCUUUUAUUUAAAAAUUCAACAAUGGAUAUUCCAGUCAUUUGUGGAGCUUAUAGGUUAGAAAUGCUUAGAAAUUAAAUUCUGACAUUCCUCUGACUCUAUUAGCUCGCAGAGAAGUUUGUGAUUGAGCGACAGUGAACUUGGGCAUUCGUUGGGGAUUGUGGUGGGUUGUGAUAGCUAGGAAUUCACAGCUGACCAUAGUAGUGAUGUACCUCCGUGAAUUGAAAGUAGUUUACUCUUCGAGAAUGCGUGCUUGUCUUCGAAGCCUUCCAGUCGCACGGGCGGAUUCAAACUUGUUCGAUUUGCGUGGGCAGGCUCAGGUGACCGCAGAAUUUCGCCGACCAAGGCCUUCCAAUCGGCGCACUUCAGCUGCCACCGGUCCAGACGAGGAGAAAGUGGUAGCUGCGGGCACUCUCAACAUUGCAGGAAUUCAGGAAGCUCUAAGGCUUUUCCAGGGUAUUCGUGCCGAAGGUGAAAAGGUGCAAGAGAAGCCGAUGGACGUGAAAUCACUUGCAGAGAAAUUUAAUGUGAAUGUGGUGUUGCUGGAAAGGGUGUUGAAGUAUACCUCUUUGCCAGAACCCUCUCGAAAGCAGAAAUUUCGUAAUUAAUAGGUUGUCUUCCCUACACAUUCAAAAGCGCUGACUUUCUGUAUUGAAAGUGCCUAUUCAUUGUAGUUGUAUGAUGUUUUGUCCUCAGACACUUUUUCUGACAGUGAGUGAAUAUCAUCCUAUCAGAGUGCAAUUUCUUAAGCCAAGUUUGGAGACUGGAAGCAACAGAAAAUUUUACUUGCAUGGAUGAAUUUCUGAAUCCUUUUCCUACUGUAUACAUGUUAUUGCGGCAGAACUGUGAUUCAGCGGUCUCGCCACCUUUCUGGAAUGUGAUUAGUUGGUAUGCGAAUAAAUUUGCUGUCAGUAAUGUGAUCUGUAAAAGGAAGUAAAAUUAAGUUGGAGGAAAGAGAGCCAAACAUAUGGUAACGAUAAGUUGACCUUAAAGUCUACUUCCAUCAAACCGAAGGCUGCUGACAGCUCUGUAAAAUUUGCUUCAAAAAGACGCACAAACUGGAUAGUAAAGUCCUGUACUCAAACAACAUACCUUAAUUGCUGUUAGAUGACGUCAUUUGAAACAGCCGACAUCCUGCAGUUCGCCUAGAGAAAGCGACGGGUUUUAAUAUCUUCAACUAUUCAAGUGGUCCGACUGUUGAUCCUGAAGCGGAUGGCUUUCAAAAUGUUUGCAGGUUAUCAAAUCUAAGCUAGAGACGAAUCUCCUCAAAACAAGGCUGAAAAUGCGCAUCACUAAGCAAAGAGUAGCAAUUGGAAAAGAUUCUCAUAAUUAGUCCACACGAGUAAACAGUACUAUCAAUCAGACUUGGUAUUGGGAAACCGGCGAAUCCGAACAAGCUUGCCCUGUUGGAAAAGAGGGCAAAGCGAGUGCUGAUGCACAAUAACGCCAAGGAUACCCACAGUGGCAGCGAAGAAUAUAAGGCUUGCUGUCCAUAGCUGGAAAAACACAUUAUAUCCUCUGAAUUCUAAAAGGUAAGCCCAGCCUAACCAAUGCACCUGAGCAGCUGUCCAAACACCCAUACACAGAGCUCCUUUCUUCCAACUCAAUCUACUGGCUGGAAUGAUGACAGGGAGCAGGCAAAAGAACCACACGAAAUACUGUGCAGUGAUCACCUGAAAGAGACACCAAGGAGAAAGAUUUAGUAAAGAUCGCGAAUAUUGCCACUGGUGUUUCCAGAGAGACAAGGAGAAUGCGAUUAAAUUUUGUUAAAUCCUAAAACCAAAUGACAGUAGAUUCAGAAACCAUAGACUAAUGCAUGUUUCAAUACAUGGCGAGCCAAACUCCUAAAUUCUUAGAUAAAUCAUGAAAAUAUCCUGCAAUUCAAAGAAACGAUUGAUCUCAACAAGCAACUAGAGGAAUAAGAUUGGGCCUGGACCUUGUUGAAAGCGACGAAAGCCACUGUUUGAGCGAAGAAGCAGAAAGGCAGAUCCUUCGCAAAGUAGUUUGCAAUUACUGAUUGAACACCCAUUUGAGGAACGAAUGCCAACACACGUUCCAGCAGUGUAAACCCGAGAGAAUGAUGGAGAUACACAUAAUAGAAAUAUAUGGAAAAAUUAUGUCGCGGAUCGGUACGCAUGAAGUGGUACAAUAAAGCCUCUUGCAGAAACUCCAUGCCGUAGAAGCAAUAGCAGAUUCCCGUCAGUGCAAAGAACGUUCCUCCAGAAACAAGACCAAACGUGAGUCUCUCGGGGUUCAACCAUCCCAUUAAACCUUCCGAAUCCAGCUUGUAUUUUGAAAUGCGGGCAGCCACCGAAGGAUAGUCUUCAUCAAGAAAGAAGAUGAUGGGAAGGGCGUAUAUGACUGGAUAGAUGCGGAAGUGAACCACCACUCCAAACCAGAUUGCGGCCUGAGCCAGCCGCCCUAACAACGAAAACACCGCAACAAGGGCUUACCAAUAAAUCAACAGAAGGCUUUACGCAAUGCCCUCCAAAUCUGAUAAAAUCGAUCAAAUAAUCUGCCUUGCAGGAGUUGAACAUACCAGUCAUGAGGCAUUUGAGAAUCCAUAGAAUAACGACACAAACGAGUGCCUCGCAGUUCCCUCGUGUCGCCACAGCAAACGUAAAUGGGUUAAAGAACCACAAUGCGGCGCAGACGACUUGCACAUUGUCAGCCACGCCCCGCAGCCUGAGCACUUGACUAAUCAGAAUACCCACCAGCAGAUCUGCAACACACAGCAGAGCACCAUAACCAUUCAGCUCUGCCAUGAAUACAUAUAGUUUCCCCACAAAUUUAACCUACCAACCUGCCACAUCUCACAUGAUUAACGCAUCUUAGCUCAUCAGCACGCAAUCUUCAGCCCCCCAUCCUCAAUUGAUUUGAUUAAAGACACCAAGCACAACACUGAGGCACAGGAAUGAGAUGAAAGCGUACCAGCGGCUGCGAAGAGCACUUUGCCCCAGCAUCGAUGAAGCACGAUGUUAGGAACGAGUAUGAGUGCCAACAGCGGCGAGUAGCGGUAUGUGUCGCGAUCGAAUGGCGACUUCCCUUCUACUAUCAGCCUUGAGGCAUCCGAAAACACUGUGUAAUCAAUGUCGGUGUAGGGCACCUCCAUGUGUGCAUCCUGCCAGUCUCCAUAUACGAUCAACCCCACUCGUAGUAUUGCCGCAGCAAAAACUAGCGCUCGUCCUGCACUAUCGCUUUCCCACCCCCAUAAUCGCCCCAUCCUCGGAGCUCCGUCCCUCGCUUCUCAAAUGCACCAAGAGCAAGCUAGAAAUUCAUGCGUAGCUGAUGACGAUCUAGAACGACGGGGAAAAAAAACCUCAUAAGCGGAACAACUCGCUCUUAUUACAUCAUAAUAACUAGUGUCAGAUCUAUUUAUCGUAGGCAUUGCCGUCUCGUGUUAGUCUUCACUUCUGUGUUACAAAUAAUUUCCUCCUUGGGGUCUCGGUGCAUCUGUGAAAAAUCGGCGACAUUCAGAAGUGUGUCAUUACUGCCUCAACAAUUGCUAGAAUAACUGUGCCGCGAGGGACAUAGCUCGGGUGGCAAUCUUAGUUGCACUAUCAAUUCCUGAUCAUAUUCACCAAAACUUCCGCAUUGCAAGUAGUGUACGAUAAAAGGGGAGAUGCGACGAACGGUCAGGACAGUAACCCUAGAUCACUGAUUAUCCCGCUUCAAAAGAUCGAACCAUCUUCAUGGAAUCUGAUCUGCCAAUUCUAUAAUCGUUAAGGCUGAGUUGGGAAUCCACAGAACUCUGAAAUACGCAGCAUACUCUCCUGGAACUCUUGAUGUCUUUAGAUAAUGGAAAUUAAUUAGGUUGAGGCGGUUGAGAGUAGUACCCACCCACCAUCGUCUAAUGCGCACAAGGCCUACGCACCACGACACUACUUUCCGGGUUAAGUAGUUGAGGAAGAUUGAUAAUGAAAGCCUCUUAUAAUUGUUGACAACACCUACAUCAUUGGGCCAUUCGGUCUUCUCUGUUGAGCAUACUCGACAUACAUUGAGCAAGCUCACUGAAAUACAUUGCAUUGCAUGGAUUCAAGAUAUUACAGUGCAUUUAAGCUAAAUCUUCACGCAGUUAUAAGUUAUGUGGCGUCUACAGAAAUCGAGUAUGCAUCUUUGAAGAUUGUCUCCAAAGUCAAGUGCCAAGUGCAACCAAAGGUUGGCAUCGAAAUUGCACCCGAAGCAGGCGAUACAGUCGGAUAAUGAAGUCCAGCAGCCGGCUGCAAAUCGAAUUGAGAUGCUAAAUGCAAGUUAUUCGGACGUUGAUUAAGCUAUCUUCUAAAAGAUAUUUGAACAAAGCUGUCAUGGGUAAACAAGCAUUUGCAUUGAAUUGCUUCAACUGUCCUCAAAAAUCCAAGAACAGACGAAUCAAAACAACAAAACCUGCAUACGUAAUCUCCACACAAAUAAAUUAGAAAACUUCUUGUGAUCAUGCCGAUUAAACUUUACUUCCUUCUGACAAAGCCAGAAAUUUGUGAUUCAAGAUGAAACUCGCAAGCCGCAACCUUCACAUAUAGACCCUGAAGAGAUUGCUGAAGUGUUUCGAGACGGUGGUUCUACUCCUUCAACUUCACCUUACCUCUUAGUUUGCUUAUUCGACGGAUUUGCUGCUCGAAGUUAUGAUCUUCAAAACCUUGCGACAUUUUCGGUUUUCUGCAUUUUGUGUAGUUUCAUUGGAAGAAAACCCCCUGCGUCUCUUCAAAGAAUCUGAUCAGUCAGUUCCCUGUGAGGGAGAGAAACAAGUGCGUCACUGACAGGCUUACUUGAGCCUACUGUGGAAAUUUCGACCACUGUCGCUAUUAAUGCCCCAGCUUUGAAAUCUGCCGCUUUAACAUAACGAUCAAAAAACUCUCCCGAGGGCUACUUGCUUCUAAUGAGCAUGCUCUAGAAUCAGAGUCAGGUACAUAGAAUUUCACUAGCACCACCCGGCUCCUCUUGUGGAUCUUCACUUGUGUCAUCAAAUAAGAUGUAAGACAGCAGAUGCAUCUGCAGUCUGACAUUGAGCCAUUCUUUUGAAAAGCUCUCGAAGAGUUUCCGGCCAGAUCAUACCUAACCAAUCCCACGCGUCUCGAUUGCCCGAAGGAUGCGUUCCUAAUGUACCUCCACGUACCAAACUAGACAUACAAGGGGUCCAGAGUUUGAAUCCCAAGUGUCUGCGUCAUCUGUCUUAUUCUUAUCAGAGUUGGCAUCCGCGAGAAGAAAUGGCUGAAAGACAAGAUUCCAACCUGCGCGAAUCCUAAGACCCCACGCUUCCAUUCCAAAUGUACCAUCUGAAAAUGAAUGGAGGUCUUACAAAAAUCUCAAAUAUGCACUGUUUGAUGACGCAUAGUGGGACCAAAGUGAACCAGGUCCCACGCAAUUCUCUUGUAAUGCCUGCAUGCUAGCAGAAUUGCUGGGGUCAGAAGCUGCUCAAAAAUUAAGUCUACUGAAACCAGAGUAUGUUAAGAACUUAACACGGUCCCAUUUCAUCUUUCUAGAUAAAAAAACAACACUAUGUAAGUUGGACAUCUUGACAUUGCACGUGGCCUACAUGUACACACCAAAUUCAAAACAAAAUUGUGAUGUUGAAAAUUUUCGAAUCAUUACAAACUGGAUACAACCCGUGUUAAAUGUGCGACAAUAUAAAGUACUGAAACUAAACCACAACGAAAGAGUCAGGUAAAUCAAAUCUACGUUAAACACUAGACCACUACAACAUACCACGUCAUGUGACAAAACACAAUGUAGAAACUAGAUAAAUCACGACUUCCACCUCUAUCAACUCCAUCUUGUACAGGUUAAAACUUAGAUGAAACUACAAUGAUACACAUCAAUCAGUAUCACAGCGUUCAGUCUAUGAACACGUAAAGCUGAAAAAGAUUAAUCACAACUUCCGACACAAAAUCUAAAGACAUGCCAAAGUUGCUUCAACAUCUGCAACUUGCAUCCAUAAGAAUAUCCAUCACUCUUCUCCCGUGAUGAAUUUUUGGAUGUAUUAUGUUCGGUGAAAUAACUAGUCAAUUUAGGGAUCAACAGAUGGCAGCAUGAUUAGAUGUAUUGGUGUACAGGCUCUCUAAAUUCACUUCAGUUAAGGAUGGCAUCAACAGCUAAGUCAUCAGACCGGUAGAAAAAAAUUCUCUUCACUCUAGGCAGCAAAGUCCACCGAGCGUUCGCGAUCAAUGAGCGACACCGCAUUCUCACAAAACAAUUCAAUGAUGAAAUUUUUUAAAGUUAUAAUUAAAAACUCGACCACGUUCGUUUGAAUGAGUAACGAAAAUCCUUUGGUUUGGGGUUUAAGAUUCCAACACCGUUACCCUCUCACACCUGCGAAACUCCAACUUUGAUCCCAGUUCCGACUUCUCAACAUUCUUAUGCAGUACAAAGUUGUCACUAACAGCUAGCUUCGCAAAUUUAAUGAAUAUACUUUUCAACAAUUACAUCGUUAUUUCGAACGUGAAAAGAACGUAACAUGAACACAUCAACGAAAUGAUCACCUUCCAGGAAGAUCCUGAUCAAGCCAAGUUUCCGUCAACUGAAGUACCUCGCAUGCCAGACAUGGAUGACCAGUGUGUACGCUCCACCCUGAAGCAACCACCUCAUCCUUCCAACUCGACGCUCCUCCAAAUACUACAACAAGCCGCCUUCGUAGUAUCCACAAUUUCCUCGUUCCCGAUUCUCGGUCCCUGACAAUUGAUCGCCAUCACUUGCCGCUACUAAUCCACAACCCUCAGGUUCGUCGUCUUUCAAUUUCAUUGUUAGAAGAAUAAACUUACACAGACUGUGGCAUGUCGGCCAAGCCCUCAUUCCAAAGUUGUGAUCCUCCUUCAAGACUGCGUCCACAGAUUGCCCUUUCACCCCUCGAGCACUGAAAAACUGCUGCACUCCCAUCUCUUCACCUUCCCAUAAACAAUGAGCUGAAUAAGUACGGUCUAUGCCGCUUCAUACUUGUGCGCAUCAUCGAAAAUCCUCGAUCAACCAAAAGGGAAACGGGUCUCUCAACCGAUUGUUCGAGGCGACAUCCUGAACCGAUCUUUCGUAGGAAUAGAAGCCAACGAGAUGGAGAAGUAGCAUCAGAAUUCACGCUCUCCGGGCACUCGUAUAUGCAUCCAGUGACCUCGAGACGCCAGAAUAGCAAUUGUUAACACCCAUGCGCUAUAUUUGUGCUCGAUACAAAAGAACCCCUAUUGCACAAGCCAAAAGCUAGCCUACAAAUAGAGACUCACAAUGCAGAGGAAUUCUCACCGUGAAUCCCUAACCAGAACGUCACCUUCCCGUGAAACCCUAAUCAACACAUUAGCUGCCCGGGAAACCCAUAUUCCUUAUUCCCAUUUUGAUUUCCAUCCAUCUCUGCAAUGUUGUGGAUAUUCUUCCUUGUUCAAUUGUUUCCUCUAUCUAUCUCUUCACGAGUUGGAGAUAUCUGAAGGUUGAUAUCAAAUGUUGGUACUGAAAACCAAGCAUUAAGAAUAAGGAAACAAGUAUAAUAAAAUAAAACAACAGCUUCUAUAUCCAUUUGAAAGUUGAUGGAAAAAUGAAUCAUAUUUGUUUGUUAACUGAAAAAAUUGUGUGAUAUUAGGUUUUCUUUAUUGUCCUUACACACAUCUGUAAAAGUUCUUAGUUUCAUAACAGUUUGUGAAAUCUUGAUUGGUUCGUUGUAUCAAAUGGUUCACACAUCUAUAUUUGUUUGGAACUAAAAUAAUGAAUACAGCAUACAAUUUUGAACCAAAUCUUGAAUAUAUAUAUAUAUAUACACACACAAAAUUUGAUGUAUCUGUAUUGAAAGUAAGAAUUAAAUAGUUCAUAAAUAAAAAAAUUAUCAAAACAUCCAAAACUCAAGAUAUAAUAGACAAUAAUUUCUAAAAUUAGAAUAAAGCAUUAGCUUUUAUAUAGCGUAAAGUGUGGCACUAGAAAAAAGUCAUGUUUUAAAAAAACUUUUCAUGCUAAUUUAUAAUUUCAAAAUAUAUGAAUUAAUUUUUGUAAAAUAAUAUAAUUUAAAUUAUAUAUAUAUAUAUAUAUAUAUAUAUAUUUCUAUUCAUAGACAUCCAAUAAUGGCUCAAGCUACAAGUAUAUCGUAAGUUGCUAUAUAAACACCUCAUAUUGUUAUAUGCACACCUAAAAAAACGUGAAAGCUUAUAAUUAGCUAGAUGUUUUAAUGUGGAGCUUGCCACCUGAUACAAUUGCAAGGGAGGUUAUAAUGGGCAAUAGCCCUUCCAUUUGGUGAUCCUAUUAAUCAAUCACCAAGCAAGAUCAAGGAAUUGCAAGAGCCUUUAGAGGCAAAGCUCCUCAAAGAAAAUUUGAAAACUACACCUUGUAUUGGAUGUUUAUCACCAAUUUUUACUGCACUACACCUUUUACUCAUUAUGUGUAUUUAUAACUAUAGUAUAAUCCACUUGUUGGUGAAAAGCUUUGUAUUAAUUUCUUAUUGACUUCUUGAAUCAUUAACAUUAUCAACUUCGAGUACAAACCUUAUAUAUAUAUAUACAUAUAUAUAUAUAUAUAUAUAAACAAAUAGUUUAGUUCUUAUAGAUAUACAUGUAACUAUUAAAUAGUUUACUAUUAAAUCCACAUUUAGAUAUUGAAUCACUAAACCCAUCUCAUGUUUACACUUUUUAAUAUGAUUGAGUUUUCUAUACUAGAAAAAAGUGGAUUUUCUACUACAUUGUUGUUCUACUCAAUUACUUAAAUUCCACCUUUGACAUGUUAGAAGAAUAGUAACUAUCACUUAUAAGACAAUGGAUAAUGAACAAGAAUUAUUGUUGAUGAACAUAUUAUUAAUGCUUACUGCAAUAAACAAAAAAAUAGAAUGAGAUUCACAAACAAAUAAUGUAUCAAAAAUUGGAUAGUUCUAAAGUUGUCAAUGAAAUAUUCAAUGCUUGAGAUUCUUGAGAUUCUUCCACACAGUUUGGUUGUGGCAAGCACUAUUUGCAGUAGUUGUUAGUUAGUUGGGCUUUACUCAAGGUCCAAGUAUUAAUCCUCAAAGACUAUGAAUAUGUGCUUGAAAUUGUUUAUUGAAAUCACUAUAAGAAUUGACAUAAUAUUGUAGAUCACUAAAGUGAAUAUAAAGCAAUAAUUCUUUCUUGGUGAAGUUGUCCAUGAUGAAGAGAUCUUUGGUUCUAUAAGGUAAUGCCAGUACAAGAUGUAGAUUUUGAAUUUUUUUUCUACGAGCUCUAUCCUUAAAUGCCUCUACAUCUCCUUGACUCUAUCUGCUAAUUAGUUAACAAGACCACUAAAGGGAGAGGGUUGCCACCUUCAUUAAUCUCCUGCAAUUGUCUAAGGUGACAAGGUCUAUAUAAAAAUACUUAGGCAAUUACAAGCCUUCACAAAUUUUGUGUACAUUCUUCUAUAUUUUUAGAAUAGAUUAAAAUACUAUCUAGAUAAUAAACAAUAAAAGCAUUAUAAAACUUUUAAAAAUCAAUAAUUAUUAAAAUAUUAAAAAAUAAUUGGUAUAUUUGUGGCUUCAAAUAGUAUGAAUUAUAUUCAAAAUAUCUAUACUUGAUUUAAAAAAAAAGGCUUCUAUUAUCAAGGAUAUACAUAGAUACACUAGUAAAUACUUAUAUGAUUAGGUAGAAAUAAGUAAAAAUAGAUAAAAGUAAGUUUUUUUCAUAAUACCUUUUAGAGAAGCUUUCUAAAAGCUUCAUAGAUGUUUUUUUUUUCUUUAUAUGUAUUUAUAAUUGAUUGGUAGGUUAGAAACUUGAUCAACAAGUUAAUCAUGUGUUAAUAGCUUGUGAAACAAGCUAACAAUAUGGCACACAUAUAGAAAACUUGUCUUGCAAGUUAAGAUACAUAUCUUACUAAGUCAACAUGUUUUAGAGGUACUAGAGAACAUUUCUACAUAGCUCUUAAAUAAAAGUACAUAUGGAGGUAAGAGUGAAGCUUUCUUCACUCUUGUUAAUACCUUUUUAGUGCUAAGUCUUGUUUCAAGACUUUUUCGUUUCUUUGUUUUUGGCAAUAACCAUUCUAGUUCAAUAGUGUAUCAUCUUUGAAUGACUUUUUACUUCUUUUUAGUGAUACAAGAGUAUACUAAGGAUUUCUUUUUCUGAGAUUCAUGUCCUUCAUAGUUUGACAAGACUGCUAACUUAUUAUUUUUGUCUUAUUUUAAAAAUGAGUAGAUUAUUUUACUUCUAUUGUUGUGUUUUAAAGGUUACAAACUAUCCAAUUUUUUAAAAUAUAUAUAUAUAUAUAUAUAUAUAUAUAUAUAUAUAUAUAUAUAUAUUAAUAUUGAUAUUUUUUAUAAAGAGAGUAGAUUACCACUCUUUAUGGAAAUUUUCAUUUGGUAUUAGAUAUUGUAGACAUUGCCUUCCUCUAAUUUAACUAUUUGAAUUUAUUUGAAUUAUCUAUAGAAGGAAAGAUUAUGGAUGCUACUCUCAACAAAAGUGAGAAUAAAUUUGUAACUAUUUUAAAUCUUUAAGAGCUUAUUAAUAUUCUAAAAAUAGAAAUUUUAUGUAUUUUUAAUGUGAAUAAUAGAGGUACUAUGCCUAUGCCUAUCGAAGAAGUUUAAAAUCUGUGUCAAAAAAUUAUGUAGUUAAAAGAAGCAAGUAGAUUAACCUCACAAUCAAAUUUGGAAAACUUUGUUCUAAAAGUAUGAUGGAGACAAGUUUCACCAUGCUUGAGAAGUUUGAUGGAAUAAGAUCAAAACUUUGAGGAUUUCUACAACAAGUCAAGUUCAAUGUAAGUUUGCAUCCCUUUCAAAAUUUUGAUGGAUUUACUCAAGUUAGAUUUAUAAGCGCAUUUUUAUCACAAAAUGCACUCUUUUAAUUUUCACCUUUAAUGAGAAAAGAUUUGUGACUCCUUUAUGAUUUUAAAUAACUCCUAAAAGUGUUUACUACUACACUUAGAAAAAGUGAGGAGAAAAGAGUAGUAGAGAUUAAGCUCUUAUCUUUACAAUAAAGAUCAUAGUCAACCAUCAUAUAUAUUGUUGAAUUCCAAAAUUUUGCUUAUGACAUGGAUUAGAAUGUCAAUGUCUUUAUCAAUCAAUUUUAAUAUAGGUUGAAGGAUAAUAUCAAAGAUUUAUUAUAAACAAUGUCAAAAGCAAAAUCUUUAAAAAUAUUUAUUGCUCAAGCCAUUACAAGCGACAAUGAAUUAUUUGAAAGAUGUCAAGAACAAAGGCUUGGUUAGAGAAGAACAAGUCAAAUAAUUACAACAGCCUUCAAGUUUUCAAGGCCAAAACCAAUGCAAAUUGAUAUAGUAUGUUUCAAAUCCUUCAUGAAGUAAGAAAAGACUCGACGGCAUCAAGAGAGUUUAUGCUUAUAUUUUAGAGAAGCUAAAUACAUUGUUCAACAUUAUCCAAAAAAAAAUGCAACCACAAAUUAAAAAGCAUAAUUGCUAAAGAAGACAAUGUGUCUAAAUAAGAAAUUUUUCUAAUUACAAUAGAAAUUGUGCAACUGAAAUCUUACAUAACUUUAAGUAAAGGUCAUAUUUUCUUGUCAAACUUUUUAUCUUAUUUUACAAUAGAAAUUUAUUUAGGGAAAAAACAUCACAAAGCUUAUCUUAGCUUUGUUAGAUUUAAGAGUCUUAGUCUAUUUUAUAGACAAAGAUUAUUUCAAAAAAUAAGAAAUAUCAUUAGUCAAUAAAAUUAAAUCCGUACAUAUAGAAGUCAAAGAUCGUAGAUUGUUAUCUUUUAGAGAUGUUAUGCAUGAGAUUGUUCUUUUAGAUGUAGUAAUUAAAGCUCAUAAUAGUAUAGUAAUAUUUUAUGUAAUAAGAUUUCUAUCUAAUCCAAUUAUUUUAAGAUUAUCCAGAUUGGAAAAAUAUAAUCCUUAGAUAGAUUAAAUUUUUUGUAACCAUAAUUUUUUUAGUAGUUUAAUCCAAAAUCUUAUUAGUCAUAUAGAAAUACAUAAGUCUAAUACAUCUAAGUCUUUAUAUGAGCUUUCAUGCAUGCCACAAUAGAAGGGUCAUCUUUUGCUAUAUAUGCUAUGCCUAUUUUAUGUGGUGGAAAGACAUCAAGUAGUAUUCUUAGCUAGUAUUUAGAUUUUUUAAGAUAUUUAAAAUAUAUAUAUAUAUAUAUAUAUAUAUAUUCUUCUAAAGCAUCAUCCUUAUAAUUGUUCCCUUGAUCUUCAUCAAAAAACUCAACCACCAUUUGGAUCAAUCUAUAGACUAUUACAAAAUGAAUUAAUUAUAUUUAAAGAGUACAUUGAUGAAAACUUGGUUGAAAAUUUUAUAUGUCAUUCUAAAUCUCUAGCUAGGGCUCCUAUCUUAUUUGUAAAGAAAAAAGAUGGAUCUCUGCAGAUGUGUAUCAACUAUCAAGUAUUCAAUAAGAUCACCAUCAAGAAUAGAUAUCCUCUACCUUUGAUUUUAGGACUUUUUAAUCAACUAAAUUAAACCAAGGUCUAUAUAAAAAUAGAUCUAUUAAGAACAUAUAAUAUAUUAUGUAUUAAGAAAGGAGAUGAAUAGAAAAUUUCAUUUUAAAUGAGGUAUGGACAUUUUAAAUAUAAUUUCAUGCAUUUUAGACUCACAAAUGUAUGAGCUGUUUUUCAAUAUCUAAUGAAUAAUGUCUUUCAUGAGUUUUUUAAUGAUUUUAUUGUUUUUUAUUUAAAUGAUAUUUUAAUCAAGUCUAAGAAUAUAAAAGAGCAUGAAGUUUAUAUUUGUUUCAUGUUAAAAAAUUUAGAGAUACAAGAUUACAUGCAAAUUUAGAAAAGUGUGUAUUCUACACUACUCAAGUUAAUUUCUUAGGUUAUAUCAUUUCCUAUGAAGGGCAAAUGAUAGAUUCAAAGAAGGUCCACACUAUUAUAGAUUGGAAGAUUCCAAAAAUAGUUUGAAAUUUUUUAUGUUUUUUGGGCUUUGCCAAUUAUUAUUGGAUUUUCAUCAAGAAUUAUUUUCAUAUUAUAGUUCUAUUUACAGGUUUAACUUAUAUAGAAAAACUUGAGUAGAGUAAAGAAGUUGAAGCAUUGUUUGAUGCUUUAAAAAAAGAAUUUAUUUUUCUACCAAUUUUAUAUCAUGUUGACUUUUCUAAGGUAUUUUUCAUGGAAGUAGAUGCAUUAGAGUUUGCCUUAGGUGUAGUAUUAUCACAAAUGUGAGCAGAUAACAAAUUCUUUUCAAUAGUUUUUUAUUCUAAUUUUUUUUUGGCAGUGGACAUUAAUUAUGAGAUCUAAAAAAAAUAAUUUAUUAUAAUUAUAAAUUCAUUCCAAGAAUGGAAUCAUUAUCUAGAAGAUACUUUAAGUAUAGUCAUCAUAUAUAUAGAUUACAAGAACCUCAAGUAUUUGAUAUCGGCAUGUAUUUUAAAUUAUUGCGAAGUACAUUGAAGCAUGUCUUUAUCAAGAUUUGAUUACAAGAUUAGUUAUUGACCAAAAAAACAAUAAGGUUUGUUGAACAAUAUUUCUAAAUAUUCUUAUCUUGGAUUAAAAAAAAGAGAUGCAUCUUUUCAUCAACAAAGAACAAUUAUCUUGAACGCAAAACAUUUUCACCUUGAAGCAAUAAAAUCAACAUUGAUUGUUGAUUCAACAUUUCUUAAGCAAAUUCAAUCAAGUGUAUCUUUUGAUCUUUUUUUCUAUGAUAUCAAGAAUAAUUCUUUUAAGUCUCAUGAUACUUCCACAUUAGAGUUGAAAAACAACCUUUACUAUUUUAAAAGACAAUUAUAUAUUUCAAAAAGAUCAAUUACAAUCACAUAUUCUUCAAACUUGUCAUGACUUUCUAACAAUCCAACUUUUUGAAUACAAUAAGACUUUGGAGCUAAUAUCAAGAGAUUUUUGGUAGUCUCAAAUGCAAAAGGCAGUCAAAGACUUUAUAUAAUUAUGUUAUAUUUGUUCAAGAUCCAAAACUCCUUGCCAUUGAUCUUAUGGACUUCUUCAACCAUUAUCUAUUCUAGAACAACUAUGGUCUUCCGUUUCUAUGGAUUUUAUCACAAAUCUUCAAGUCUCGAUUUUGUAUGAUUCAAUAUUCAUGGUAGUAGAUUGUUUUACUAAAAUGGCAUAUUUUAUACCAUGUACAAAAACUAUCACAAGUAAAAAGAAUAAAAAAAUAAAAAAAUAAUAAAAUAAUAAAAUAAACUUUUUCUUAAUAAUAUCUAUAGCUAUCAUAGAUUGCCUAAAGAUAUUAUAUCAAAUAGAGAGAUUCAAUUUAUAUCAAGAUUUUAGGAAAUCCUUUUUAAGAAAUUAAAAGGUAGAUAUAAAACUCUCUUUGGCUUUUCAUCCUCAAACUAAUGGGCAAACAAAAUCAAUAAAUCAAGUUUUGGAGUAGUACUUGAAGUGUAUCAUCAACUAUCAUCAAGAUGAUUGGACAAGAAUGAACAAGUCAAUCUUGUUACUUAUUAGUUAUAUAUACCGGAGUCUAUGAAGAUCCACCAUGUAUUUCACAUGUUUCUUCUUAAGCCAUAUAAGACAGUGAAUAUGUUAAGAAGAAGACAAAUACCACCUCUUCUUAUAGAAGUCGAAAAAAAUCAAGAAUUUGAGGUCUUAGAUUCUAGACAGCAUUGAAAUAGGUUAAAAAAUCUUGUUCAUUUUCAUAGAUAAGAUAUUAGUAAAUGCACAUGUGAGCCAACAAAGAAUCUUCCAAAGGCAGCAAAGAGAGUUGCAGCUUUUCAUUGACAAUAUCUAUCAAAACCAAGAUAAAAAAUAACAAAUAUUUGCCAUAAAAGAAACAAGAUGAAAAGAAGAUAAUACUCUACCUUCUAUCUUUCUUUGUAGCUUCUAUGUAUUUGUGACACUAAAGAGAUGGAAAACUAAUAAUUAGCAGAUUCAACUUAAAAGCUUUUAUUUGCGGACUUACCAAAUGAGACAUUGCAAUUGUCACAACCUUCAAGACAAACAUGUCCCUCUUCGAAUAAAUGGCAAGAUAUAAUUUGUUUGGUAUUACAACCUUAGAAGAGACUCUCAAUAUUUGAAAUUUUCAUUAGAAGUAGGAACAACUCUUGAUAAUGUUCCAAAUAUUUUAUUUAAAAGAAGUUAUGAAGGCCUAAACAAUGACCAAAUAAUAGGGUAGUCUUCUUGCCUAGUAUAAAACACUAUCUAUGGCUGAGAGGACAUAUCAACUAUCUUUGAAGGGAAGAAAGAUCAAAGUAUGUAAAAAAAUAUAAUUUGCCACAUCUUAGAUUUCUUCAACAUAUGAAGACCACUCCUCAUGGAACUUGCUUAUAGAAGGGGGGGUAAUAUUACGAACAUAAAUAGAUAUACUAAUAAAUACCUAUAUGAUUAAAUAAAAUAAGUAAAAAUAAAUAAAAAUAAGUAAAAGUAGAUAAAAGUAAAUUUCUUUAAUAAUAUCUUUUAGAAAAGCUUCCUAGAAGCUUCAUAGAUGCUUUUUUAUUUUAUAUAUAUUUAUAAUUAAUUGAUAGGUUAGAAACUUGGUCAACGAGUUAUCCACAUGUUGAUAGCUUACAAAACAUGCUAACUAUAUAGCGCACAUAUAAAAAACUUGCCUUGCAAAUUAAGAUAUAUGUCUUGCAAAGUCAAGAUGAUUUGGUCAAAUUUUCAUCAACAUAUUUUCAUCAGUAUAAAAUUUCUAAUACAAAUUUUUUUCUUAUUAAUAUAAAAAAGAUAAAUUAUUAUAAAUAUGUAUGGAUUAUCAAAGGCUAAGAAAGAUCACUAUGAAGAAUAGAUAUUCUUUGUUUUUGAUAUUAGAACUUUAUAAUAAAUUGAAUCAAAGAAAGAUGUAUACAAAAAUAGAUAUAUGAAGAUCAUAUAAUUUAGUAUGCAUUAAAGAAAGAAAUGAAUAAAUGUCAAGAAUAUGAAUCUCAAAGAAAAAAAAACACAUAAAGUUUUUGGUCAAAUUUUCAUCAAUAUAUUCUUCAAGUAAGACGAAUUUAUUUUGUAAUACCCACAAAUUGGUCCAAAUGGCAAUUGGUUUUUUUUUCUUUAAGACCAAUUAAUCAAUCAUAAAUACUAUUUUUUAAAAAAAUAUGUAUAUUUUAAAAUUAUAUAUAUAUAUAGAUAUAUCUUAAUAAUUAUUAUAUUAGCUUACAAUAUUAAUUGAAGCCUUUUUACAAAUAAAAAUGGAUGAAGAAUAAAUAAAUAAAUAAAAAUGGCUUUCUUUUUUAACUUGCAUGAAAGCUCUUGCAUCUAUAAAUAAAGGUUUUGUUGUAACAGACUUGUACCUUUCUUCUUGAUUAAAAAAACUUUUAUAUGUUGUAGAUAAAAUUGAAAUUAUAAAAAAUCCAUUUCAUAUAAAGGUUGCAAUUUUUUAACUACAAAAAACCUAAAAUGACCGGUUUGAAAAAAGAUUUAAUAAUAUUAAGUAUUACUAAAUUAUUAUGAUCAUUUUUUGCUACUUUCGUAAAGAUAUUAUUGUAAGUAAUAUCUCCAAAAUACAACAAACAACCAUCUAUGACUUCUACAUGUACAAACUUAGUUUUUUCUAUUAAGAAUGUUUUAUAUUUUUUAACAAAAUCUUUAUCUAAAAAAUAAGCUUAAGUUCAUAAAAUUAAUAAUAUAAAGACUUUGUAAUUUUUAGAACCUAAAUAAAUAUCUAUGGUAAAAUAAGGUGAAGGAUUUAAUAAGAGAAUAUGACUUUUAGUAGAUAUUGCAUAAGAUUCUAGCUACAUGGACUCUGUUAUAGUCAGACAAAAUUAUUUUUUAAUACAUUUUUAUUAUUAAUAUUCAUGUUCUUCAAUUUAUAGUUGUAUUAUCUUUUUUAAUAAUAUUGAGUAAUAUAUUUAGGAUUAUCAUAAUAUAUAUUUAUUUAUUUAUUUAUUUAUGAUAAUAUUGAGACUUUUUUGAUUGAUGAUAGAUUUAAAAUAUAUUAUAUAAAUAUUAAAAAAAUCAUAUUAAAAAAUAAGUUUUUAAUAACUUAAGAGUUGUUAUUAUGAUUUGUUUUUUUCUAUCCAAAUCUUUAUUUUUAGAAAUUUUUAAAAAGUUAAUUAUUACAUGUUAUAAUUUGAAUAAUAAAUUAUUCUAAUCAAUAUGUUUUUGGAAUUACUAAUAAUAAAUCUUUGGUACUAACUUUUAAUUCAUAUUAAAGUUAAUUGAUAUGGACUUUAUCUUUCUAAUCCACAUCUUAAAUAAGGUUUUGAAAUUCAAUAAUAUGUAUAAUAAUUUAUUAUCAUUUGUAUCAUUAAAAUAAUAAUUUGUAUAUACUACUAUUUUUUAUUGCUUUCUCUUAAUGUCGAAUGAAAUAUUUCUAAGAAUUCAUUUAGAUCAUAUAGUAGUUAUAAAUCAUUUUCCAUCAAUGAUGCAAACUAAAAAAAACACUUCAAGAUAUGAAUGUGCUUAUGAAUUUAACAAAAAUAAAUCCAUUAGAAUAUUAAAAAGAAUUUAAUUUUUAAUAAAACUUGAUUUAUUAUAAAAAUCCUCAAACUUUUUAUCUUAUUCCAUUAAACUUCUCUAGAAUAUUAAUCUUUAUCUCCUACAUAUUUGUAGUAAGAAGGCUUUUUGAAUUUAUUGUGAUUUUGAUCUAUUUACUUCUCUUAAUUGUAAAACUUCUUCAUCUAAACAUUAUACUUCAAUGUUGACUUCUUUUACACGCAUAGGAAUAAUACUUCUAUUAUUGUUAUUAAUAAUAAGUAAAAAUUUUAUUCUCAAAGUGUUAAUAAGGUUGUGAAGAACUACAAUAGUUUCAAAUUCAUUCUUACUUCUACCAAGUAUAGCAUCUAUAAAAUAAAUAAAUAAAUAAUAAUAAUUAAAUUAAUUAUAAUAAAAAAAAACUUAAUAAAUAUACAAGUAAAUUAGAUAAUAUUAAUCCACAAUCUCAAAUAUCAAAUAAAAAUUUAUACACAAAAAAUGGUCAUCUUUAAAAAUAUAAAUUAAAUUAGAUUGAAUAUCUAUAAUAAAAAAAUAUAUUUAAAAAUAGAUAAUCUGCAACCUUUAAAAUAUAAUAAUAUGAAGGAGAUUAAUCUUUUCACUUUUAAAUAAAAUAUAAUAAAUAAUUAUGAUUCUUUUCAAACUAUCACAGUCAUAAAUCACAACAAAAAUUCUAUAGAAGCAAUAUAUUCUUGUAACAUUCAAAGAAAGAAAGUAGAUAAAUCAAAGAUAUGUAUAAGAUAAAAAUUAGAAUAAAUAUUUUCAAAUAUAAGAAGACUAGAGCUCUUGAAAUAAAGCUACAAAAAAAAAAAAAAAAAAAAAAAAAAAUGACAAAAGUAUAGAAGGCUUCAUUCUUGUCUCUACAUGUACUACCUAAGAGUUCCACGAAAACAUUUUGUGAAACCUCUAAAAUUUGUUCAACUUUGUAAACACAUGUAGAAUUUGAAAAGCAAGUAUCUUAUAUGCGUACCACAUGUUUAAUUUAUUGGAAAAAAUUUUAACCUAUCAAUUACUUAAAAAUAUCUAUAAAAUCAAAUCUAUAUCUAAAAAGCUUCUAAGAAGUUUAUCUACAAUAUAUUAUAUAAUUUAUUUAUUUUAUUUACUUCUAAUUAGUCUCUUUUAGCUAACUAAUUAUAAAUUUUGCUUAUAUUAGUGACAUUUUUUUGUGCUAAGAUAAGAUUAUAAGAAAGGCAUUGAUAAAAAUAAGAAAAGAUUUCACUCUUAUCUCCAUAUACACUAUCUAAUUAAAGAGCUACACAACAAUGUAUUAUAAAUUAUUUGACACAUGACUGACUUACAACAGAUGUAUUUAAUUUGCAAAGCAGUUUUUAUACAUGUAUAUCAAAUAGCUAAAUAUGGCCAAUAUAUAUAAUAUAUAGUCAAUUUAUUGGCCAAUUUUUAACCUAUCAAUCACUUAUAAUUAUUUAUAAAUUCAAAUUUACAUCUAUAUAGGUGAUAAAAAGCUAUUCUAAAAGAUAUUUUUAAAUUUAUUAGAUUUUUUUUUUUUUUCAUCACUAAUGCCAAUAUUGAUGUCUAUGAAAAAAGCUCUAUGUCAUUGUACUAACAACAACAUUCUAAAGAAGAAAAGCAAAUACAAGAUUAUAGAUCAUGUCAAGCUCAAAUGAAAAAAAUAUAUAUCUAUAUAGCUUUUUUUUCUAAAUUAAAAAUUAUUCUUACAAAUUGGAAGUAUUAAUAUCAUAUUUUUUAAUUAGCUUUGUUAAGUUGUUUUUAAAAAAAUAAAUGAAUAAAAUUAAGUUAUUAACCAAUUAAACUUUGAUAAGAUCCUUAGAUUUUUUUAUCAUUGACUAUCAAAGUUUUAAAGUCAACAAAAUUCAAAUGAACAAUGGUGUAUCAUAAAAGUGAUUUUUUUUUAAUAUAGUACAACCAUUGAACUUGAGAUUUAUGAAGGAUAUAAUCAUAACCCUAAUUGGUUUUGCCACCAAUUGAGAUAAUUUGGCCACCAUUUUUUUUAUUAUUUGACAUGUUCUAAAAAUGUGAGCAUUCAAUUGAAAAAUUGGCAACCAAAUUAGAUUUUAUUACCAAUGUAUCAAAAAACUUAGAUGAUUAGGCUUUUGUUUUGAGAUUGGCUACAAAAAUUUGAUAGUAAUAGAAGAACUGUUAACAGAAAAGUGUUGUUGCCUCUAUUGGACAAUGCCUCAUUCCAUACCAAAGAAGAUUUGGAGUUAACAAAUAAUGAACUACUAGGGAUAUUAAUUAUCCACCAACCUCCCACAUCAAUUUUAUGAUAAAAUAUUAAUUGCUAAAGUAUAUAAAUAUUGGGGGGAUUAAUUAUUGGAGGUUCAAAUAUAUAGAGAGAGACAUGCUGUAAGUGCAAAAUCUUGGGCACAAGUGCUCCCACCUCUUCUGAGACCUAAAACAAAUCUAGCAAGGAAAUUGCACCUGGCUCAUGGUUUUGUAAGUUCUUAGGCAAGUAAGGCAAGUCUCCAGUAUUGGUUGCUUUGAGAGGCACUGGAGUGCUAGAGGGAGAGGACAAUGGAUGUCCCAAUUAUUUGCAGUAGUUGGGACUUGGGGAGCCAAUCACUCUCUAUGGACGUGAAAGUAUGAGACAAAGAAAGGGUGGAAAGAACACCACCACUUGCUCCAUUUUCAGCAGUGAAUGCAGACAUGUGGUCUGAUAGUACAUGAUAACUUGAACAUAUAAUAUAGUUUAACUUUUCUCUAAAGUAGGGUCUUUGUUGGGAUGUAAGUUUUGUGCUGUUAUGUAUUUCCUCAAUUUAACCAAAGCAUAGGGAAUAUGUCAUUGUUUGUCAAGGAAAGAAAGAAGCAGACAUGGCCAUGUCUUGGAGUUGCUUGGCUGGAGGAGGUUUGGUCCUUUUGAGCUGUUGCCUUAGCAAAUUGGAUUCCUUCUACACAGAGAUAGUGAAGUAACGAAUAUUCUGGAUUCCAAUAGUACAUGCAUCCUUCAAUGUUGACAAGGUGGCCAAUCAAAGCCAAUACAUGUCCACCAUUAUAAGAUAAGUUCCAUGAUUGUGACAAAAUCAAAAAAAACUUGUGUUCCUGAGUACUUAACAUGAACCCAAAAAAGAAUUAGUGCAUUGAUGAACAUAAUGAAGUAAAAGCAGGAAGCAGAGCAACACAGAAAAGUCAUAUCAAAAGGGUUUGAUCAUUGACAGAUUUGUUUUAAAAUCCACUUGUUAAGAACUGAAACAACAAUGCUUGAUAUUCUAACAUUUCUCACUAGUGAAAUGGUGGAUGGAAAUUCUUCUUGAACUGAUGCAAUUUUUGUGGUGUCAUGGAAAGGAUUACUAAAGUUGUAACUGUGACAACAUCUGUUUCCUUAAAUAAUGUUGAUGCUAUUUCCAUGAUCUUUGUGGUAAAGCCAGAAUUUGAAACAAUAACUGAAGGUACACACACACACACACAUUUUUAUUUAAUGUCAUGAAUAGAUGCUUGCAUAUCCAUAUAUACACAAUUCUUUGUCAUGUAGUUUGAUUCUUUACCUUUUAAUUUAUCAUGUUGAAAUCUCAAAACUUUAAUUGACAGUUUCUGUUGUGAUAUAUUUUGGGAUUUCAAAAAACCAGAUGAUGGUGGACUCUACCCAUCCAAUGAAUUCAGGUUUGUAUUAUUAUUUACAACAAUGCAUUAGCUCUCCACACAGAUUAGUGCAUUAUCUAAUAAGUUGUGAAUCCAAAAUCAAAAUGUCUGCUAUCAAUAAUAAAAUUUUAAAAAGUAGUUUACAAAUUGAUGAUGUUACUUUUUUCAUUUAUAGAUAUAUAGGAUUAUUUUGUAUAUAUGAUGAAUUGUGAACAUCUAAAUUUUUAUAAAAUAGUCAUUUUCAUCCAAGUUUCAUAAAGCUAGCCUGAGUAUUUUGAAUUUUUUUAAAAAAAUAAUAAUAAUAAUAAUAACUACAUACUGUUUCUAAUUUUUGUUUUAACAAUUUGAUUUGUUCUACUAGAAAACAUGAACAAAAAUCUACCAACUUGUGUUGCUGAAGAGAGUUAGAGUUGGCACUGUAAAUACAAAGUCAUCACCUCCAAUCAUGGUUGGGAACAUGCAAGAGAAUAGGCAAGUGUUGUUGGAAUAUGAUUGAUAGAACUUCUUCUUUUUUUUAAUUUUAAAUAUGCAUAUGUAAAUGCUUGCUCAUAUUCAUUUAUGUAGGUCCAACUGGAAUUCUUAUUAGAUUUAGAUUCCAGACUUAAACAUCAAGGAAGAACCCCAGAGAGAGAGAGAGAGAGAGAGAGCACCAGAGAGAGAACUAAAAAUAAAAUAAAAUAAACUAUUCUUCAGGUCUAUACAACCAAAGAGGCCCCCACAAAUGCCUGCAGCAGGGAAGGGGUGCUGUUGCUGCUGGAAAGCUUCAUGAUAGCAGGAGGGGCACCCACACUCUUCCCUCAGAGAUUUGAACACACAACUGAGGCUCAGGUUCUAAUGAUAUAUUCAAGUGGUGAGUGUGUGAAAAGGCUUUGCAUAGUCUUUGAUGAUUAGGCCACUCACAAGCCCAAUUUCACCCCAUAGCUAUUGUACACAUCAUCCCUCUCAGCAACAUGGGCCAAUUCUCCAAUCUUCUCCUUCUUCAUCUUCUUCCUUUGAAUGCUUGAAGCUGACGGCCAAGAAUGUGAUUGUUGCACACUUAAUACUGCAUUGCUGGCAGUCAGCAUGAUCUCUUCUUGCACAGAGUCCAAAAGCAACUGCUCUUUCUUUCUGUAUUUGUGUGUGUGGUGGUGCCUGCAGUUGUUGUGUGCAUGAGAGAGUGAGUGUCAAUGUGGGAGUGAACUGCUGCUGGAGGGUACCAUCCAUCACAACAGUUGAUUAGAAACUACGCAUGUGAAUGUGUCUCUGUCUGUAAGAGAACCAAAUUGAACCAAAGCAACAAGGCUCUCCUCUCUCUCUCUCUCUCUCUCAACUUGUUUGAUCUAUCUGUGGGGGGUCAAAUCACUGGAACUAAAGGUGCCAGGGCAGGAACCUUCAAUUAUACAGCAGAAGCAGUAAUGGAAGGGAAUACUACUCUUGUUUGUUUGUUUGAUAGAAGGAAGGGGAGAUGUAUGUAAUAGAUGGACUGAUGAAAUGGUAACCUGUCACAGUAAUGGGUUCACCAUGUGAUGCCUGGUAAACAAAGCAUGUGGGGGGGGGGAGUCUAUUCACCAGUUUCACAUUAGCGAGCGCCCUCCCAUGAGCCCUUCUCUGACUCUCACAGCAACAGCACAUAGGGACAGUUGGGGGACCCCCUUCCUUGUCUAGAUCUUUCUCCCAUUAAAGAGGAGAAUUGCUGUUGAGAUGUAGAAUCUAAUGUUGGAAUACCUUUAACUGUCAACUGAAGGUUUUUCAGCUAUCUCAAGGGGGCUUUAUUUUGGAUAAUAAUAAUAAUAAUAAUAAUAGUGGUGGAGAAUUGAGGUAUUGAUGUGCUCCAAAAGAAAGAAAGAAAGGAAGGAAGGAAGGAAAAAUGAAUUGCUGCAAUGGUUUGAUUGAAAAAAAAUGAACAAUUUAGUUUAUUGCAUUUGGCCCCUAAACCAACAUAUAGACUUAGCAAACCACCAACUACAUCUUUGUAAAGUUUGCCAAUUAUUGGUGGGUAUGGAAUGGACUUGAAAUCUUUCUACAUGAAGAAUGAUUGUUUUUGGGCAUGAAGAAUGGUUGUUUUUGGGUUUGUGCAAAAGCAGUUUAGGGUAAGGUAUAUGGGUUGGUUCUAGGACAUGACAUGGAUUAAGGUAUUUCAAUAUUAGUAAGUGAGCAGAUGUGUCCCUUUAACUCUCUCCCUCUUCAACUGCCUCCAAGUAUGUGUAUGGCAAAGCCAAAGGAAGGCACUGAACCCCACACCAUCAAAAAGCUGUCAAAGCUUAUGGUUAAACAACAAACUUGUAUGCUGCAAAGUCCCAUACAGAGUGAAGCAGUCACUAUUGAGUUAGUUGCCAUAAAGAAAGAAAAAUAGGAUACACAUAUUCAUUCAUUCUUGAAUGGUUUAAUACAGUGGCACUUACAUGUGAUUCAGUUAUACCACAAAAUGGGGCAGUUUGGUACAACUUAUAUUUGAGUAUUUGUGUUGCAGAAAACCUUUGAAUACAUUCUUAUGAAGAAAUAUUCUAAUUUUCUUUUGUUUAAAUUUUUUUUAGUAGUUUGGCCCCAUGGUAACUUUGAUGAUAAUGAAUUCCUUAAAAAGAAUAAAUUGCAAAACCAGUGUAGGAAAGCAGUUUGUAUAUUUAGAAUGUGUUUUUGUUUCUUUCCCCUCUUCACUCCAAAAACCAAGACAUCCAAUUUUGAAAGAUGCAGACUCUGAUGUACUUACAGUUACAACUAGUAAAUACAAACUUGCAUGUGUACACCAUAACCAAACUAACUAGACUUUUGAUAACAGAUUGGUACAAGUAAAGUUUUAAAGUUCUGUGAGAGAGCCAGGUAACACUAUGAACAUGAAAUAAAUAGACAAUUAAAUAAUGAUGAAAUCACUAUAAAAUAUAUAAAAUGAACAAAGUAACAAAAAAUAUAUAUAAAAAAAAUCUCUGAUUAGAGGAAUUAAACUUUGCAUGUAGACUUUUUGGACAAAGCUUUUAAACCAUCUCAUAGUGACCCCUCCCUCCUCCCAUAUAAAGCUACAUCUCCCAGCUUCAGAUGGGCCAAAGUCAACUUUGCCUCAAGCAAAUGGCUUGUCUUUCCAGGGAGCAGCUCUGAUGGAUGGAUGGAUGGUCAGAAUGGAUAGACUACAUGGGGGGAAUUGAUGCAAGGGACUGACAAAAGCACUACCACAACCUCAUAUUCAGGAUGUGGAUGUACUUGAGGAUGAAUGUCUACGUUUAUCAACGCAAGGUACAGAAAAUGAGGGGAAAGGAGAAUAGGUGCUCAGAACUGAUGAGAGGAAUGUUAACCCUAAUUCUACUCCAAAACGUUCCGCCAUCCAAUUUCAAGGGCUCUAAAGAUUCAUCUCCAUUUCAUCCAUAUGCUCAACCCUAGAAAUCACCACUUCUCCCAGGAGGAGAGGGGAUUGACCUUGACUGACAAUGGAAAGGCAGAUGCUAUGAGCCACUGGUAGCCAAUGCUGAUCAUGUCCUGGACUACCCCACACUUGGUCACAUGGUUCACCCCAUAAAUCCUGGCCUUCCAUGCCCUAUCAUCAUCACUAUCAUCCUCACCAUUAUGUUAUUUCUCUUUACAUUUUAGUGCAUUAGGGUGAAGGAAAAAAUUAAUUAACAAAUUGUGUAGCAGUUGAGUAAUGCCCAUUCUCCCACACAACCCUCACUGCACAAGAUGGAAAAUAACAACCCCCAUCAUGGCAUGGAAUGAAAUGUGCAUCCAUGAUGGUGGGCCAAUGGAGCCCCAAGCCCUAAAACAUAUAGAGGUCUUUACAUCCCCGAUGCAAUUCAUGCAUGAGAGGUAGACAACCCAUUUCCCAUGAGCGUUUCAGCAUAUUUGCACUGAGUUUAAAAAUAAAAUAAAAACAUCCACUUGUAGAGAAAUAGAAAUGAGGAGGAUUCCAAGUGUUUUCACACAACUUGGUCCAGAGAGGGAAUUUAUAUAAAUGUUUUAGCUAAUGAUUCUCUUUGACAUAUUUUUGACAUGUUGGCCAACCUAAUUCUGAUCAUAGGCUAUCCUAAUCUCAAUCACUGGUGGAUUACAAAACUAAGAAUCCAACUUUUACAAAACUAAGAAUCCAACUUUUACAAAACCAAGAAGUUGGCACCUAAUUUUGCUAUCAAGGGAAAUGUGGCACCUAGUUAUACUAUCAUUCCAUGCCAAUCAAUCAACAACUGCCACCAAUUGAUAAUUCACACAUGCCCAUUUCAAGUACAAUAAAUUUUAUUUAUUGCUCACAACUCAACAUCAUUCUAUGCUUGAAUGGUUACUGUUGAGAAAUGAGCUUGUGUGUUGUGGCUCUCCUAUCUCUUUCUUCUUGCGUAGUGAGGCAAAGUUCCUUUUAGCACGUCUCCUUCAAUACACUCUCAAUUGUAGGUCAAAGUCUCCCUUUCCUUCGAAUUGUUUUCAACAUCACCCAAUACCAUUUUCUUAUAUUCUACCACCAAAGUCUCAUCAGGUUUUUAUUGUUGAAUGUACAUACAUGCAUACUUUUUCAAAAAAUGCAUAUCAUGUUAGUCAUAGUUGAGCUAAGAGAUAUUGUGAGAAGGACAAUUCAAGAGCAUAAAUAUUAAACAAGUAUUCUUUGACAAAUGUCACUUGGGAGAACUUUGUGCUUAGGGGACAAGGCAAGAGGGUUUAAUUCUUAAAUGUUUUGAUUGGCUGAUAUUGAGAAGUGUUGUUGAGUUGGUUUUAGACUUUGAAAAUAAGUCAAAAUGUUAUGAGGAAAAAAAAAAAAAAAAAAAAAAUGAAGUGAAUUACAUUUUUUUUUUUUUUUUUUUUUUUUUUUUCCCCUUCCUAAUGGUAUGAAUAUUAAGAAGUUACAUUCAAAUAUGCUUAACAUAACUGUUAAAACAAAAAAAUCAAUCUUUAUGCACUUCUCAUUAAUUUUUGAAUCAAAAUAUGGCCUGACAUACUUAGACUCAUACUAAAAGAAUAUGUUGGCAUUAAUUGGAGAGUGCAAAGUGGAUUUAAAAAAAAUAUGAAAACUGUUGUUACACAUUGAAACCAUGGGUAUCUGCACAAACCACUUACCAAACAGUGAAUGAAUGUUAUGCAACAUCUUGAGUAGUAGGCCUGAAAUUCAUUCAAAUGAUGGCGAACAGGUAUAUGCAUUACUGUUUUGGGAAAAUUUCCAUGUGGCCUGUGGCUAUAUAAGAGAAUGUCCCUAAAUUCAAAACAUUUGAUUGGGAUUUUGAAGAAUGGUGUGCUAGAGCCACUUCAACGGAUUUGGAGGAUUGAUGACCAAGAUCAAAGGGAAAUCUCAGUUGAAGUUGACUUCACAUUAUCUCAGAAAAGAUUAGUCCAAGAUUCCUUCAUUACACUGUCUAAACAUAGUUGAAACAAACUGUACAUCAUACUGUCUAAACAUACUUAAAAAGCUUGUGGAAAUCAAAGUAUUAUUAUGUUGGAUCCAUUUCACACUGCUGCAGCAGAGGUAACUGGAUCACUUUCUUUUUCAAUUUGAGAGAGAAAGGUUACCUCAUAUAGUAAACAUGGAUUUGAGAUAUCCUGAAUGCAGAGCCAAUUAGCAAGUAUCUACACAAUGAAAAUAGCAUGUACCCACAAUGGCAAUAUUGAGGCCUUGGACUUUAAUUUUUUGAUAUUCAUGCUGACAGAAAAACACUCAUAUAAUAGUGGCCUGAUCUGCAUUGGAAUGAAAAAGUUCCUACCCAUUGCCAUCCCAAAGUUACAUCAUAAACUUGAAUGGUUCUACAUGGCAGAACUUUGCCCUGGGCAGGUACCAAAUGAAUAUUCCACAUCAUUGGUAAAUAAUGUUAGUGUUUCUCCUGUCUCAUGUAGGAUGAUAUCCUUGCUCAAUGAAUUCAUUAUACCUAAUCAGGUUGGAGGUUAGAAACCUUAGCAAGCUAGAUCAAAAGAUUAGAGGAUUUCAACAGAAUAUUCAUGUGAUGACUGAGAGGAAUGGAGAGGUCACUUUGAAUAUGGUGGUGUGAGUGCCUUUCUGUAUGAGAGGGUUACAAGUGUACCUCAUCAAAAUCUUAACUCCCCAACACUCAUAGCUCUAUCAAAUCCUGAACAAUACUAGCAACAUUCUUGCUCAUGUUAGGGGAAAAAUGAAAGAUGUCCAUGUGAUGAAUUGAAGCACAAAGAGAUGAGCACAAAACCCUAGUCACAAAGCAAAGAUUUUGAAUAAUUUCAAAAGUCUCAACCACAUUUUGAAAGCAUUUCUUAAAGUAGAGUGCAAAUGGAAUUUGAGGUUGUGAAAGAAAGCCUGUCCAAUACUAGUGUGCUUGGUUUCAAUACACCUUGAAACUGAAACAUGAUUAGAAUUGUGAUUAUGGGGGUAUGCAAUUUCCAUCAUUUUCAUGUUCAAGUGGCUUCUAAAAGGCUUUUGUGGUGGAAUGGCAAAGUUGACCUGGGUAUGAUGAGUUCGCCAGAAUGAUGAAGAUGGAGGCGACGACGUGAGGAGGCUUGGGAAAGAUGCGAUCCGAGCACCGGGAAUGAGGUAAAAAGCCUACCACACCCAUGCACGAUUUGGAAAGGGGGGAGCGAUGGAGGGGAUAAGCAAGACGAGGGCGACGAUGUUGGAAACCCCGCGGGGCCCUCACCUGUGGAAGGCUGAAAGAGCUCUCGGCAACCCUACCCAAUAGGGCCUCAUACCAGUAGACCUUCUUUUCUGGAGCAGAGCCCCAGUGCCGCUUGCAAGAAGAAUUCAAUAUUUGAAUGGGGAGAGGGAGGAGGAGGUGUGUUCACACAGGGCACUGCGGCCGAAAGCGGCACGGCAUGAGCAGUAAGAAUUGAAUGCGGGAUGGUAAGUUUGGAGAAAAAGGCGAGUAAAUGAAUCGCCGGCUGUUUCUGGUGUCGUUACCAAAUUUAGACCCUUCAACCUCCGUUCCCAUCUUCGUUUCUCCGUUGCACCGUUAUCGUCGAGCUCCUGCUCCUGCUGCGUUCCCCCACGAAGCUCUUGGACAUGCCAUUGUAUCUGUUGGAGAGGCAGGUAGUGUACCUUUUUGCUUUUCGCGCUUUGGCUUGCCAAAUAGCGCAGUCAUAGGGCAGUUUAGUGUGGUCAGACCUUGUUGGCGGCUCCACGGAAGCGGCGGUGGUGGCGCUUUUGUAAGCGGAGUGCGAGAAAGAUUUUGGAUGGAUGGUUCAGGCGGUAGCGGCCAAAUCUCCUAUCACACUUAGAUUGAGCUACCGAAGAAAGGAGUGUAUGAAGGAGCAACCAUUAAUAGAAAACGGAAGAUGGCUGGAAACAGGAGGUGGCACGGAGAGUGUUUGGUGCUUGACAGGGGCAACAAGCCAUGAAGUCUGAAAUAUUGGAAGCUUCUGCCUAGAUGCCAUACUUAUUGACGAGCGGGUCAGUGGAUGAGCAGAUGUGAAGGAAGGGCAGAUUGGUGCAAUUGUUGGUUGCUGCUUUCGGUAUGAUCUUGUCGCUGAGAAUUGCUCGCAGAGUGGUAUGUUAGUGUGCAUGGAUGGUGGAUCUUCGCGAAGGUUUUAGGGCCUAGGUGUAUUGCACGAUUGGGUGCGUUGUUUGGAGAGUUUGUGGAUGUUCGAUUAGUUAAUGGCAGGGUUGGACGGCAGACGGAGAAGGGAGAGGGUACGAAGGAGAUGAACGGUGAUUGAUCGAACGGGGUGGUAGUGUGAAGGGGAAAAGUGAUGUUGGUGAGGCGGUUUGGAGGAGGGAAUCACACAGUCUAGGUGUUGGAUGGGUUUACAGGUCAGGUUUGGCAAGUUUUGGAGCGAGUAAUUGUUGUUGGGUUGGGUUGGAUAAGAGGAUUAAAGGGGCACCGACUGUGAUGAAGCGCUCGGGGAUCAUCGAAGGGCUUAGUGAAUGUUUGUGGAAUUGGCCUGGAGUUGUGAAGCCGAAGGUUUCUGAAGCGCUAGAAUGGAAUUAAUCCACGUCAAUCGCCAUGGCUUGAGCAGCGUGCAAAGUGCGGACGAGUAAUCCAAGGAUUGAAUAUGCAUGGGAAUCUACAGUUUUCGCAGAAAAUGAGCGAAGCUGGUGGUGUAUCUUGGUGGUUAGGAGGGAUCAAGAUAGUUUGGAGUCAUGUUUCCCAGUAGCAUUGUGAACUUGUUGCGGUGGAAGCGGCGCAAUAAGAAUUUGGAAUUUGUGGUUUUCAGUUUCGUCGCGAGUAGAGUUUCAGGUUCUUGAUGGGAAUAGCUUUGUCUCUGUAGAUGGCCAGUGAGGUGUUAUAUUCCUCUGCGAAGAUGGUGGAUGUGCAAGCAAUGCCAGGGUUGUGGCCGGAGUCCACUCAGGCGGUGAUGCUUGAUAGGCGAAGACGACAUACCACGGAUCUUCAAGCGGCCGGGACUACGGGGAGGCAUGUUGUUUCCAAAGAGAAUACGUUUAUUGAUUCUGAGCACUUCAAGGAGCUUCUGGAUCGCAGCUGUUCGGCUGACUCUCAGCAAGCGUCCCUUGCGCGGCUGUACGAAGAUCGACAGGACAAUGCUGUGAAUCUUCUCAAGCAACAGCUUGAGACACUCAACUCAGCUCGAUUAGAAGCCGAACGGCGUCAGAUCCAGAUUAUGGAGGAAAGCUACUAUGAGCCCAUGUAUAAUGUUGGGGACGGGUCCACGCUUAGUGAAGAUAGCCCUCGAUACGAGCACUUUCUUGGGGAUGACGGUCCGGGAUCUUGGAGCUCUAUUCCUGGAAGUGAUAGCUGUUCAGUGGAGAUGGAAGGAGAUAGUUUCGGUCCCGCUGAGUACUGGCGAGACCGUGCGCGUGGUUAUGCCAAGCUCUUGACAGAUAGUAUACGGAGGGAGGAACAACUGGUCGAAAAAUUGAAUGAGUAUGCCUCAAUGCCUCCCCCGAGUUGGCAGCCUAUUGAAGAGAUUCGAACGCAGCUCCACCGCUUUGACAAUUUUUUACGGUUUUCUUUGAGGAAGGCGCCGGUGGUAAUUGGACAUCAGGUGUUUUACCAAUCUUACAGGUUAAUAGAGGAUUGGAAGAAUUAUUGCUUGACCUGGGACUUUUUUUCUUGGACCGACACAGUGAGUGCACAAUAUGUAUCCACAGGGAAUGACAGGAAAUUUAACGUUAAGUUGUGGGAAACCUUCGAAGGUGGCCUUCUUGUGUGUCAUUGUAAUAUUUCUUCUUAAGGAAUUCUUAGCAAUCUCGAGCUUAGAUAAAUUCUGUUUAAGAUAUGUGGAUUCUACACUCGAAAUUAAGUUAAGAAAUGCUAAAUAAUUUCAAGCAUGAUUUAUAGCUGUGAUAUGGCUAAAGAGAUACUGAAGCUUCCCUUGACAUAUCUCGCAGGACAGCGAUUUGCGGUACCGGUUUAUCUACAACGCUUUUCCCACAUUAUCGGAAGAGGUACUUUACAAUCUUUUUGCUUCUCUAUCUUUUCGUGAGGCAUCCUUUUUCUACUUAAUAGUUAGGGUGUGUUCUCUUGUGCAUAUUUGCUUGGAACCUUAAGUCUUUCGGCUUACAAAGGUCACACAAUGCUUCUAAGCUUAGAUUGGAAUCUGUUCUGUUUCCUUUAAACUUAGGCACUCGUUGUGUUCAGAUAUCUUCCUCUGAAUAGAAAAUGGAAAUAGCUCGUUCCUCAGUAUUAGACUUCUUCACUGGACUUCUGAUCUCUUCUCUAUCACAGAUAUAGCAUCGUUUACUUGAAUGCAUGCCGUAAACUCCUUUGAAUAGUGUUUGAAUUCACCUUGCUAUUCAGGAAGUAAUCGGAAAGACGGAUAUAGAGAUAUACAGCGGAUCGGGAGUAGCGGAGCUGAUGGACUUCAAGCGAGAGGUCAUGCGGAAGGGGUGGCCUGAGAAAAGAGAAAUUUCUUUUAAUACAGACCUUUUUGGUGAAAAAACUUUCUUGAUCGCUGUAGAACCCGUGCUGAGUCGGUCAGGAGAAGCCAUGGGCCUCAAUUAUAUUGCCAUGGAUAUUAGUGAACAGGUAGACAAGCGUGAACGAAUUUCGCGGCUUCGCGAGGAAGUGGCUGUGCAGAAGGCCAUGGAAGCUGAGCUUCACAAAACCAUUCAUAUUACUGGUAUUUUUUUCCGUGACUAAUCAUGGAAGAUGAAAUAAGCUCAAUACCAGGCAGUUGAUUUUUCGGAGUGACAUUCGGAUGUGUAUAUUCAAAAUGUUGCUAUAGUCUCAAUACGUUUUCGGUGUACCAAUUUUUUUUGAGUAGAGGCAAAUCUUGGAAAUGCGCAGAAGAAGCAAUGCGUGCAAAGCAGAUGCUGGCAACAAUGUCGCAUGAAAUUCGUUCUCCUCUGUCUGGUGUAGUAAGUAUAGCCGAGGUGCUGGCCACCACGCAGCUUGACCAGGAGCAGCGGCAGCUAGUGGAUGUCAUGGUGUCAUCUGGUGAUCUAGUGUUGCAGCUCAUUAAUGACAUCCUAGAUCUUUCAAAGGUUCAAUCGGGUGCGUAAUAUCACCUCGUUACUAUUUAUGCCGGGCAUUACUACAUUUCUAUAUUCUAGAUUUAAAAGAUUGUUUAUGUAGCAAAUUUUGUGCACCUGCAAAAAUGCAGCUGAUUUAUUUGUGGUCUUACAGGGGCAAUGAAAUUUGAGGCUAAAAAGUUUCGACCACGAGAGGUGGUGAAGCAUGUGUUGCAAAUGGCUCUUGCUAACAUGCAAUCUAAGGAUCUCAUCUUAGAAGGACUAAUCUAUGAUGAUGUGCCUCUCGAGGUCAUUGGGGAUGUUUUACGAAUCCGUCAAGUUCUCACCAACCUAGUUGGGUAAUGCACCUUCAGACCCCUUCUUCCAUUUCACAUGCGAUUUCUUCGGUUCAUGUAGGGGAUCCUAGCAUGAUACAUGAGCUUUGACUCAAAAACACGAGCGAAGCUGCACAAUCAUUGAUGCUAAUUGUUUAUUUUGUGGUUUUAUUUUUUCUUAUUCUUCCAUGUGUGUGUGAGUGUAGUAAUGCUAUUAAAUUCACACAUGAGGGAUCUGUGACGAUAAGUGUUCGGGUAGUCCCUCCUCCCCCCCCCUCUGUCGAAAGGGCAGCCAAGAAUGUCUUUCAAGCAGCUACUGGGAUUUCUGCAACAGCUUCGGGUCACAGUGUACCCUCUACUGAGAUUUCUUCUGGAGGUUCUCGACCGAAUUCUUCUCCGGUGACUUCAAACCAUGAAGCUGGUGAAACUUCAGGGGACGUGCAUGCUACCGAUAGCAAUUCGCCGCUUACAAGCGUGCAGUCCAUUGCUGAAUGUGGAGAGCUUGCAGUAGGCGAAGGAGUUGAGGAUGCUGUCUGGCUACUUUGUGAAGUUUCUGACUCGGGCAUUGGCAUCCCAGGUGAGCCAAUAUAGUAGCAACUUCCAGUACUUCUGUUUAUGCACAUUUAAGAUUCCUGACUUGUUUCUGUAUUAUCACUAAGAAAAUAAGACACAUUUCUUACAUGUAUUACUUAAGCUGAAGCUUUUCCCAUGAAGCAAAGAGCUGUUUUAGCUCAAGGCCUGGUCUCAGACCUCUAGGAAAUAGAGCUCUUGCAUCUGGUUGUGCGGGCGGGCUUACGUUGAGCGUCGAAAUUCGAUAGGCCUUGGCUAACAGUAGCUUGCUACUUUGCAUCAAUCAUGUAGAAUCGGCAUUGCCAACAUUGUUUGAGAAGUACACCCAGGUUAGCACAGCCCAUGCCCGAAAGUAUGGUGGCACUGGAUUGGGAUUGGCGAUCUGCAAGAACUUGGUAAGUAGUAUGUUCAUGCAACUAUCUUUCUGUCUUAUGCAACUAAUUUCACAGCGGGCUUCUAAAUAAAAGCUUAUUUGCUGAACUGUGUGAUCACGAUCAUUAUAUAUUAUCGUUUGAUUAUAUUAGUCCCAGGUAUGUUUACCGUAAAAAUAUACUUCGAGAAGAAUACUUUGCAGCUCGUAGCAAUUUAGUGAUGUAGAAAAUGCAAAGAAUUUGAUUUGCAUGCAAUUGGCGAGUGAAUUUAUCAUCUAAGGAUUUUCUUAGAUUAUGUUGUUAGUUUACACUAAGUGUUGAUUAUGUUGAUUAUGUUGGAACGACGAAUUUGUAGGUGGAAUUAAUGGGCGGCAACUUGACGGUGUUGAGUAAAGAAAAUCACGGUUCUACGUUCUCUUUUGCUCUUCCUUUCAGAGUAGAUUCAGGAAGGUCUAAAAGCUCUGGUCGACUAAGUGAUGAGGUCUAUGAAAUGAUGACUAAUGAGGCGAAGUCGGAGUGUGUCAACGAGAGGUUGGUAUCGACAAAAAAGAUUGGUUACUUCCAUUUUACAUCAAAAGUUGCUUCAUUAUCUCCAACACCAUCUCUGAAUCCAUCUCCGGGUCCAUCUCCAAGUCGGUCUCCAACUCCACCCAUUUCACGAUGCCGUAGUAACCCAUUGUCUGUUGAUGCUCUCACGGAAUCAAAUUUCCUACAGAGAACAAAAAGUCAUGGUGGUCACAGACUCUCAAACCGACGAAAGUCAACAAAACCUGUUGCCAUAGGAUUUUUCCAUGAUGGUUCACCUGAGUUCAUGGAUGUCGACUCGAAGGCACCCGACCACAUGAAGUACAUACCUGGCUUGUCUAUGACACAGUGCCAAAGCCAAGCUCCUUUUGUGCAUAAACAAUGCAUGGUUGGACCUUCUUCCCGUUCCCAUCGCCCUUCAACUAAGGUUCGCUUGCCGAAAGUUCAGGCAGGACUAGCAAGAAAAGACAGAAUGACUUCAGAAAGUUCUGUGCUUCCCCACUCAAUUCAUGGUAUCCAGCACCAAAGACAGUCUCGUAUAUUGCUAGCAGAGGACAACAAGGUGAAUGUGAUGGUGGCGCAGUCGAUGAUGCAGCGGCUUGGCCACAAAUUAGAGGUUGUGAACAAUGGAGCGGAGGCUAUUGAAGCUGUGAAACGAAAUUCUUAUGAUGUUAUUUUGAUGGUAAGUGUACAGGCAGUGUACUGCACUUGCUUUUCGCUCAACGCGAUAUUAUUUACUACUAUUGUUGAGAAAUGUUUUUUUGAAUUGGAGCUUUACUGGAUGUUUUCCUUCGCUUGUACCAGGAACGUUUGAAUUUUCUCUGCUGUAGGUAACAGCGAUUAUAGUUUAGCCCUUUUUUUUUUUUUUUUUUUUUUUUUUUUUUUUCAACUUCAAGUUUUCCAUUUUCUCAUUUGAGCCUCUGGUAAUUAGCCAGGUUUUAUGUAAGUGGUUAACUCUUUUCUUGUGUUGUUUUGUUUUGUUUUGUUUUUUUAAAUUUGUUUUCUGUUGGUAUAUAAGUUGCAGUUGCUUUCUCAUUUUCGCUUUGCAGGACGUGUGCAUGCCGGUGAUGGAUGGACUUGAAGCCACCCGCAGGAUACGUCGUUACGAGGCAACGGGAUCGUGGGAGGAGUUGAAAGAAGGAGAUAUGAAUAGGAGUACAGAAUCUAGUUCUUUCGAACAUUGUUCUCGUGUGAACUUCGACAAUGCACAGUCUCAAAGUUCUACGCGACAAAGAACUCCCAUUAUUGCGGUGAGUUUUCCCGUGGAUUCAUUUUAAUCUCAAUUCUGUUUGUGGUGCAUUAAUGGUAUAUUUCACAUACUAUUUUUUACUUGAAUGGUGCAAUGGCACUGUAAUGAUUGAAUUGAGAUCACUAUGUGUGUUCUCAACAUAUCUAGUUAAGUCAAGGUGUGGCAUACCGCAAGGGGCUGUUGUAUUAGUGUCUUCUUUGCUCAGUAAUUUGAGGUAGGAGAGUAUUGUUUUACUGUUAUCCAGCUUGCAAUAUCUGCUUAGAUCCUAGAUGUUUCCAACGACUGUCAUUGUUUUCUGAAUUUUUUGGAUGUUUUGCGACACCUUUCCAAAUAUUGAUGCCCAGUUUGCUCUUUGCAGAUGACAGCGAAUGCGCUGACUGAUAACAUGAUGGAGUGUUACAUGCAUGGGAUGGACUCCUUUGUUGCAAAGCCCGUAACUUUCAGAAAACUUGAACAUGUGCUGAAGCAAUUCAUACCCUGCCUUGAUAGCUCUCAGAAUUCAUCGGGUCAACUAACUUCGACGGAAUCAGGUUCGUAGUGGGUGAGGCAUAUUCAUGGCAAGGAUAUCCCAAAUUUAUCAACUACGAUGGAGUAGUUGUAUGACACGAAGACAUCAGGGGGUGCAAAUACACAAAUUUUUAAGCAUGAGCAUCCUCUGAAAGCAUGUUGCGACCCUUAAGAGUGCUGUGCACAGAAUAGCUUUUCAAUCACCUUUUUCUUCACCCUUCUGCAUUUUUUCUGGUUUGGAAAACUCUAGAAUAAAUUUCAGGCCCAAUGGUUGCACUCUAAUUGGUGGGAAGCGUGUCUGAGCUGGAUGACAAUAUCCUUGAAGGGCCAGCCCGUGGGGAGUACUUCCGAAAGCAGCUGACUGUAUGAUAACCGUCAACAAGAAGUUGGCACCCCAUUCUUUUUGUAAUCUGUAGUACACUAACUCAAGUAAGUAUUAAGUAACAGCAGCACGUUUUGCAAUCUGUCCUUGUCUUGAACUAUGAACUAUAUGAUGGUUUCAUUUGUUGUGGCGAUACUGUGCUCAGCACUUCGUGCCGUUGCUGAUGCAUGAGUUAUGACGUUUGUAACUUUCUCAGGUCAUGCAGCCUGAGGUGUACAUUUUUGUACUAAAAAAUUGGAUUCCUCUUCAAACUGUACUUCAAGUAUGUGUGAUAGGUUUUUUUUGUCCUUCGUUUUCUGAAAAGAGAGGACUUGUGUCUUUUCAUUUCAAGGUGCAAUGAAAUAACCCUAUCAAAUCCUAAACAACAUUUAGUGGCUUGAACUGAAGUUUUCUCUUUUUUUCUUUUCUUUUUGCCACAAGAGUGUCCAUAUUGUCCACACUAUUAUUUUUUGAAGAUCAAGCAUUUAUAACAGGGGUAUAGUGCAAUUAGGAACUAGUUUAAUGAGAAGGUGGAAGGAUACUAGGAAGGUAGAGCAUAAUUUGUGAAGGGUAUCAAUGAAGGCAUAUGGAACUUCACAAAGUUGCUUCUAGUUUUGUUCUAACUUCAACAUUAAUUAGUGAAACAAAUUUUCAUGUUUGUUGGACCAUGUUGAUUUCCUUAGAAAUUUGAGUAAAUGACAUUCUUUUGAUGUUUAUAAAUAUAUAUCAAUAGGUAUAUGUAUAUAUAUGUGUGUGUAUGUUUAUUUGUAAUAAAAUAAAUUAUUCCUUCUUUUAUUAAGUAGCAAAGUACAUGAUAGUAAAGGUCUGUAGUCCACAAGUUGAUUGCAAUCUUUUUGUGUCAUUAUAGCCAAAUCAAAGUUAGUUCAACACAAAAUUAAUUUUUAUUUCAAAAAAUUUCAAUUGAAGGAAAAGAUAAGAAGUAUGAUGCUAUAUUAUUUAGAGGUAUUAGUUCUAGAAUAACAAUGUGUAAUUUUAGAAUAAUUUAUUUAUAAACAAUAUAAAAAAUUUGGUGGUUUUACAUUGAUAUUAGAUAGUUCUAUCAUCCUUAUUUUGUAGAUUUGGUUGUAAAUGAGAGAAAAAAAUGGAAUAGAUGAAUAGAAGUUGUAAAGAAAUAUAAUACCAAUUUGGAAUGUCUUUUAUUUACCUUGAUGAUAUUAAAUUAUAUAUUUAUUAUUUAUAUGACAAAUUAUAUUAGUCAUUUGAUAGAAUUACCAAUGUUUUUAAUUGUUAGACUUAGGUUUAUAAAUAUAUUGAAUACUUGCUUGUAGAAAAUUUUUUUGCAAAAAGUAUUUGAUUAAUAAAGUCUAUGAUUUAUUACAAGAUGUUUAUUAGAUUUUUUUUUUUUUUUUUUUUUUUUUUUAAAUUUUUUUUAUAAAAAAUAUUUAUAUCUAAACAAGAAGAUCAUCUAAUCAUUUAAUUACUUGUAAAGUCUUCAUAAUUAUAUUUAAAUGACACAUUUAAAAUACCACCAAGUGUAGUAUCUAUUUUCAAUCAUAUCACCAAACAUUCAAAUUCUCUUCUAAGGUCAUGGUACCUUAUAUAUUAUAUCUUGCCAAAUAUUUAAAAAAAGACAUAUCUUCUUUAAAUAUCUUCAUCUGAAUUCUAAUACUAUCAAGAUUAAGACAACCUAAAUGAUAUAUUUGGCACUUUUACAUAUAACAAUCUUUGAAAUAAAUUUAUUAAUUAUUGAUUCUCCAUCCUACAAUAAAGUUCUAAGAAUUGAUUCUUAUAUUUGCUUCAACUUAUUUUAUACCAUUUUUUAUAAAUGGUUGGUUCUUGGUUUAGAUGUAUGUUGAUAAAAAAUAGAAACCAACUUUGGUUUAUUUUUAAGAUUCUUUAAUGGUUCUAUUGUGCAUUUGUUCUUAUCAUAUUUUUAUAAAUAUACAAGACAUCUUAAUUUAUUUUGGUGCUACCUCAAAUCUAAGAUUCUUUCCACUUUAAAAUAUUGAUUUUUAUCUAUUUUAAUUAGAAAUGAUGGUAAUUGCUUCACUCAUGGUAUGUUGACCAUAAUAUAAAAAUUUGAGAUCAAGAUAUCAAUAAUGAAGUCUUUUGAAAAAAUAAUUGAAAUUGUUUAGAAUAUGCAAUAGUUGAAGAAGUCUACAAGAUUAAUGAUGUGGAGUCUUUGCUCAAGAAUUAAUAUCUUAGGAUUAAACAUAUUUUUUGACAACUUUCCAUGUUUAAAGUCAUAAAAAAAUCUCUUGAAAAAAAAUUCCAAUUUUUUUCAAAAAUAUAAGAUAAAUAGUUUUUUGAACCAAUUCUUUUUGUAUGUACUUCAAUACUGAUUAGGUGCUUUACCCAAUCAAUAAAAAACACUUCAAAUUUUUAGAAAACUUAGUUUAAUAUAGAAAAGAUUAUACUGAUUGGUGUGUUGAAUUAUUUUAUUAGAACUUCUGAAAUUAUUAUUUAAUGUAAAAUAUUGGUCAUUUCAAAGAAUUUUUUAUUUUGUAUACUAUUAGAAAGUCAUAUCCUAUGAAUAAAAUUAUCCAAUUUUUUUUUGUCUUAAUAUUUGAGAUUUUUUGACUAAAAAAAAAAAAUCACUUUAUUAAUUAAUUAAGAAAAAAAUUGUAAUGUAUAUAUAUAUAUAUAUAUAUAUAUUUAUAAAUUUAAAGCUUCUUAUUCAGUUGUGGAUUAAUUUCUUACAGCCAAAUUUAAUAAAAAUGAUGCUUUGAGUAUUGGUUGGUGAUAUUAAAUAAUUUUAAUUUAAGAAUUUUACAUAUGUAUAGAAAUCUGAAUCUUAAUACAUUAGAAUUAGAAUUAAAGCUUUGAUAUACAAUUGUUUCCAUAAUUUGAUAAUCUUUUUAACAAUAAUUAGUUGAAAUCAACUCUUUUAAGUUAAUGAUAAUUUUAUAAUAAGUUCUAUAAUGCCAAUGUAAUUUUAAAUCAAAUAUUGGUUGAAUUAAGCCAUGUCAUUUAAAAUUUAAAAUGUUAUAAAGAUGUGUAGAUGAAGAUAUUAAUAUAUAUAUAUAUAUAUAUAUAUAUAUAUAUAUUAUCUUCAUUAUAUAAUUUUUAUUUUUAUUUUUUAAUACAACAUAGUUAAAGUUAAUAUAUAAAAAUAAUAAUAAUAAAUAUUCUUAAAAUUAACAUUUUUUUUGUACUUUCAAAUGUUUUUGAAGAAUAAUUUAAAUUUAUACAAGUGAACAUUCAAAUUUGCUAUAUAUGCAAAAAAUUUCAGAGUAAGUUUGUACAAAUUUAAAAUAUUUGUUCUAAAAAACCUUCAUAAUGACUCCUUAAUAUACUAAAUAGAUAUUUUUGAAUACAUUAAAAAAAGAAAAGUCAAGACAUCAGCUCUUUUCUCUUUGUUAAGUUUUAUUUUGUAAGUGUUGGAUAAUUACACUUUGAUUUAGUUGUAUUUUCUUUUAUCAUUUACAAAUAUGUAAAUACACGGUUUUUUUUAUUAAUUACAAAUAGUGUUUUAUUUGAUAAUAUUAAUAUAUUAAGUAAAAUCAAGUAUUUUUUGCCAUAAUCAUAUUGACGUCUUCUUGGUUAUUUAUUCUUUUAUAAAUUUUAAGAACUUAGUUUGGAUAACUAGGAUUUCUUUAUUUUCUUUUGAUAUGCUUUUGUAUUGCUAAUGUUCAUGUGUUGUGGAUUGUGAUUGUUUUUAUACCUUUUAUCCUCAUUUGUGUUAAACUUUUUGAAAACUUGUAGCAAUGGUGUAUUAUUGGUAUACUAUGAGAAGGUUGUCCAUAGUAUAAAAGGGACAUGUCCACAUAGUAAAAAGAAGGUGUCUACCUAGCAGCUCUCUACAAAUAAUUUGCUAAAUUAUCUUUGUCUUACCAUGGUUUAAAAAUGAUAUUACAACUUUAUAAUAGUUAAUAUAUUAAUAUAUUUAUUCUUAACAGUUCUUUUCUCCAAUUUAUUUGUUGUGUCAAAUUGUAUAGAAAAAUAAAUUGAAUAAAAAAAUUGAAUUAAUUUAUCAAUCUGAUUCUCCUAAUUUUUUUAAAUUAAAAAUUUUAAGUUUUAAAAUUCUAUAUAUAUAUAAAUAAUUUAUUUUAUAUAAAAAAUAAGAUUUCUUGAAAUUCCAAUCCAUUAUAGUAAGAAGCUCUUUUAAAUAAGAUAUUCUGCCAUUUUAAAGAUUUUUUUUUUAGUGUAUUUCUAAAUAAAUUCAAAUUUUAGUUCUAUCUUUUUUAUUUUACGUCUAAAUUCUAAAAUUUAUAUAAUUUUUAAAAUAACUUAUUUUAAAAUUUAAAACUAAUUUUAAUUAAUAGAAACCGAGGUAGAAAUUAUAAGACAUACAUAGGUUUUUGUAAUCUUGUUGGCAUAGUUGAGGUCCUUUUUGGAUAUUGUGAUGAUGCUGAGAUGUUAUAGAUAUGUUUCAUUACCAUAAGCCUUCUUUGCCUUAGUAGUAAAGUUGUUGAUAAUGUUUGUUUUAGAGCUGUUUGACUUUUCUUAUAUUUUUAUUUAUUUAGAGAUACUACAUAAGAUCCAUAAAAUUUUAACUUUUUAACAAAUAUAUAUUUUAAAAAGGCUUGUAUGGAAAGUAUAUCUUAUUAAGUCUUUAGACUAUUCUAUAGUACAAAAUAGAAAGACUUUAAAGUUAUUAUUUAUAUUUUGUUUUAUUUGAUGAGAAAAUUUUAUUAUAUUUUUGAUCUUAAGCACAAAAUAUAACAUCUUAGUAAUAAAAAAAAAUAAAGUAGGUAUGUCUUUUUAUCAUCUAUAAAAACUAUUGUAUAUUUUCAUUUGAUAGAUUAACACCUAAUUUAAAAAAAAUUAAAAACAUAAAAAAUACGAAGAGAGUUUGGACAGAAGUUCCAACACCCCCUCUUGGACAAAGCCUAGUCUUCUUGUGUGUGUUUCACUAAGAUGGACAAGCGUCGAGGUUUGUGUGACGAUAGGCCUGGACGCGGGUUGAUUCUGGCUCUUUGGGCUCUUCUGAUUUUCUUCAGGGAUUCCUUCAACUGGUUGAACUUUAUCUGAUCCCUGGACCUGUGGUGAUGCAAGACGGUAAGACCAUUUGAGCCCCCUCUGAAGCUGCGGUGGCUUCUUUGCAAAUGUCACAAGUACAUGGAUUGAGGCAGUUUCGGUGUGGGUCUCACAAUGUUGGCUCAAAGGUCGUUCAACCAGUGAAGUAUUAUGUGGUUAGGCGUAGGUACACACCCAGGGUGUAUUUGAGUUGGUUGGAUUGCAAAAAAGAGGUGAAGAGGUACAAGAGAGCGGAUUUUAAGAUGUUCAAAACUAAGGCAAUAGCGGAAGAAUUUGUUUUUGUUUGAGAGCUUUUAGACUAAGUCUGUUUUGACCAAGUUUGAACUUUGUUCUUUCUAGUGGUUUAGUUAACAUGUCUGCAGGUUGUUCCUGCGUGUUUGUGUAGACUACAUUGGUUGUACCGAAUUCUAUUUUUUGUCUAGUAAAAUGCUAAUCGGUUUUAAAAUGUUUGGUUUUAUCAUGGAAUACCAAAUUAUGUGAUAUUUUAAUUCCACUUUGGUUGUGACAUCCUAAGACGGUUGGGCCCGUACCUGGAAUCUGAAAUUCUUAAUGUUUGUUUGCGAGAGCUCCAGGAGAUUGGUGAGCUUCCAAGAUAGAAUAAGCAAGCGGAUGUGGAUAAGUGAUUGUUGGUAUCUUGCGCAAAGUCCGCGUCAGAGAAGCCUGCAAGACAAUUUUCCUCCACGGCUUUGUAAAAGAUGCCGAGUGAUAGGUAGCGGGGGACAUGUUGCAAGAUUUUGCAUGCAGCUCAAAGAUGAGCUUGCUGGGGCCCAUUUGUAUACUGGUUGCACAGUCCGACGGCAAAAGCAAGGUCGGGCCUAGUUUUAGUGAGCCAGUGAAGUCGUCCGAUCAUCGCUCAAUAUUAAAGAAUGUCAUAGGGUCGAGUGCUGAUGUCUUUGCGGAGCUUGGUGCCUUCAUUUAACGAAAUGUGUGAAGGAUGGAAAGCCUCCAUCUUAAAUUGUGCAAGAAGUUCGUGAGAGUAGCUGGUUUCAUGAAGAAGGAGACCAUUGUCACUGCGGGUGUACUCGACCCCUGGAAAACGUUGAAUGGAGCCUAAAUUCGUCAUUGCAAAUUCGUGAUGUAACUGUUGUUUGAGCUUGGAGAUGUGAGGCAUAGAUGUGCUGGUGAUUUUAACGUCAUCUACAUGUUGUAGGAGGAUGACAAUACCGCGGGAGUCAUGAUGGUAGUAUGCAUUUGGAUUGGCUCGGCAACGGAGCAUGUUUUGACUUUGUAAGUAGUUAUCCAUUUGGGAGUACCAAUAGGGGAGGCUGUGAUUCAAACCAUAUAGCAAUCAAUGUAGGCGAUAGACCAUGUGUUCGUGGCCGGGGGAGUGUUGAAGGUAGACCUCCUCGUCAAGAUGGCCGUUUAAAAAAGCGGUUUGUAUAUCAAGCUGAUGGAUUGGCAAUCAAUUUUGAAAAGCAAGAGCGGCGACAGUUUUGAUAGUCUCCCAACGUACGAUUGAGACAAAGAUCUCUUGAUAAUCAAUUCCAUGUUGUUGCUGAAAGCUCCAAGCGACAAGGCGUGCCUUGUACCGCAUUGGAGAACCAUUGAUUCCAGGUUUCAGUUUAAAGAUCCAUUGCGUUUGGAUUGAGCGUUUACCUGGGGGUAACAAUACUAAUAACCACGUGCAAUUGUCGUUCAUGGAUUGUAGUUUGGAAGCCAUAGCAAGUUGCCAGUGAGUUGCAAGAGGCAUUUGAAAAGGAGAUGUUUUCCCCGCCUUCCAUGUUGCCUGCAAAUUUUUUAAAGUAAGCACAGAAGUUGUCGAAUUGGGCAGGAGGUCAUCGGUGUCGGUGGGGGCGCUGAAAAUGAGGUGGGGCAACCAAGAUAGUAGGCGCGGAUGAGUCGCUAGGAUCUGAUGUAGGUAGUGCGGGGAUUGGACGAGAAGAUUGAGGAUGCGCUAUAGGUUAAGAUGCUGUGUUAUUGUCAGGAGAUAGUAUCCAUGGUGACGAAUUGGUAGUGUUGCCUGGUUGUGCGGUAUGGAGGCGCGGAUCCAUCGAAUGCUGAUAGUGGAGACAAACUGUUGGCUAAAAAAGGUAGUGCAUCCGAAGGAUCUGCUGCAAGCAAUGCGAGCUCUGGAACGUCGGGUGCGGCAAAUGACUGAUCCAAAAGGGUAGGUCCUCCCAUAAUUGGUAGUGGAUCCAAUUUUGUUGGGAGGAAAGGCGCAGGCUUGUUUUCAUGUAUCUGUACAUCAGCCAAGAUUAGUACUUUAUGAGUAAUUUGUAACAUCAAUAUAAAGUACAUCGAUAUAACCAAGAUGGAUCAUAACAUAGGUAGCCUUUUACUUGUGUAUUGCUUUGAUACAAUUUUGGAUCAUCAACGUACACAGUACCUUGGUGGGUGACAUGAUAUUGAGAUAGAUAAGAAGCACAGUACUACUGUGGGUGGUGUAACAUCACACUGAGCAGGGGCGGAAGGCCUCUGACUAAACACUGAGUUGAGCAAUAAAAGGACUGACAUGCUACAAUGAACAGAGAAGACAAACAAAAUUUGGACAUAAGUUCCAACAAAUUUGAUCAAGGGGGGCGAUGAUUUUUAUUUUAUUUUUUGUUUUAUUUUUUGUGGGCUGCUGUCAUCAAGGGUGUUGCUUGAGCCAUUGCAUUCCAACAACUCCUGUUUCAUUAAAACCUUAUUUAAGAAAACCUUAUUAUAUUUAAGUGUAAAACCAUAGAUGAAAGAAAAAAGAGUACAACAUUAUUUCAAGAGCUCAUUAACUUUUUUGCUCAAGAAAAGUAAGUCACUGCAUAUCAAUGCCAUAAGUAAAUCAAUGAUGGUUGCACAAAAGAAGAGCUUUGAUGAGGAGAUCAACAAGGUUAUUUGCAGAUUCAAUUUUCUUGAUCAGUAACUAAAUCAUAGAUGUAACUAAAAUAAUUUACAUCAAUAUGUUUUGUCCUAUUGCCUUUAAUGAAACCAAAUUGCAUUUAUGCAAUAUAAGAGCUAUUGUUUUCAUAUAAGAUAGUGGAAAAAUCAUCAUAUGAAAACCCACAGGUUGUCUAAAUAAAUUUAUUAAUUAGUCGCAACCAAAUAUAUUUUUGAGAUGCUUCAUAUAAGAUAAUAAUUUCUACAUGGUUGGAUGAUAUUAUUGUUAUAAUUUGUUUCACUAAUUUUCAUGAUACUACAACUCCAUGUCUUAAGAAUAUAUAGUGUACUUGAGAUUUAGUUAUUGCAACAUCAGAUUUAUAUCAUGCAUCAAAAUAUUCAAUUAAUUUUGAAUCUAAAGAUUAUAUGUAGUAUAAUUCUAAAUUUUUAGUACCUUUCAAAUAACAUAAUAAAUGUUUGAUAUCAUUUCAAUAUCAUAGUAUUAGAUGUGCACUGUGUCUUGCAAGAACAUUAACUAUAAAUGAAAUAUGUAAUCUUGUAGAUGUAGCUAAAUAUAAAAGUACUUCAAUUCCUACAAGGUAUGGAUAUUGUUCUCUCAAUAUUUUUUCUUUGUCAUCACAUGGAUAGUAUGGAUUAUGACUAUUAUAACCACGCCUAAUCAUUAGUAUUGACAAUUGAUAAGCAUUAAAUAUAUUGAAUCUCCAUAAGAUUUAUCUAAUAUAUGUUAGUUGGUAGAAAAUUAAUGCUACAAUAUGUGAGAUUCAUAAUUUGAAGACCAAUGCAAAAAGUUAUUUUUUCUAGCAUUUUCAUCUCAAAUUCAUGAAUAAGUAGGUUAGUCAUUGCAAUGCAUGCAGAUCUAAUAUUCGCCAGAAUAACAUCAUCAAUAUAUACAAUGAUUAUUACAAAACCAAUUUCAUCUUAUUUGAUAAAUAAAUAAGGAAUUAAUGGAUAAAUUACAAACUUAUUUAUAAUUAAAUAAUCUCAAAGACAUUAAUAUUACAUGCAUUUAGAUUAUUUUAGAACAUAUAGGGCCUUGUGUAAUUUAAUACCAUGAUAUCGCCCUAGAACAAGUGCAUUUAGAGUUCCUAUUUUCAAAGUAGAUGGAAUUUUUAUAUAAAUAUUUACAUCAAGAGAAUCAUACAAAUACAUAUUUUCCACAUUCAUGAGAUGCAUCUCAAGGGUAUCAUGAGCUGUUAUUAUAAUAAUAUAUUAGAAUGUAAUUAAAUCCAUGACUAAAGAAUAUGUAGAUUCAUAAUCAAUGCUAAACCGUUGGAUAAAUCCUUGAGCAACAAGACAAGCUUUAUAGUGGAUUAUUUGACUCUUAGCAUCUUGCUUGAAUAGUAAUACAAUCUCAUAUUCUACAAGGCAAGAAGUAAGAGUAUCUACAAUUGGACCAAAGACUUUCUUCUUAUGUAAAGAAGUAUAUUCUUCUUUGAUGGCAAUUUUACAUUUUAACCAAUCAAAGUGAUGCAUCACUUCUUAGAUGGUUUGAGGUUUAGGAUCAUCUUUCUCAUAAGAAAAAACUUCUACAAUCAUGAAUACAAAUGAUUUAUUUAUAAUAGUAGAUGAUCUAUUCAAAUGUCGUUUAUAGCAAAAUAUAGAAUAAAUAAUUUUGUAUUCAAUUUGAUUUUAUUCCUCUUAAUUUCAAGAUUUUCUAUUGCAUGAGAUGAAGAUAUAAUGUGUAUGGACAUAUUGUCAUUAAUUGAUGGUCUUAUACGUUUAAUAGGAACUUCUACAGAAAUAAUACUAGAAUCACCACAUGUUAUAGCUUUCUUCUUUCAUGAUUGCCUAUCUAGUCUACAAGUCCUUUUAAUUGUUGAUGUUUUAAUUUGAGGUAUAUUAAUUAAUAAUAUUAUAAUCUAAAUAGGUUCAUUUUUAGCCUCAUUAAUUAGAACUCUUAUAAUCUGAGGCGCAUCAUUGAAGCCAUUAAGUGUUUCAUUUGUGAUCUAUUUUAGAUGCAAAAUCUUAUCAACUUCAGUUUCAACUAAAGAUGUUUUAGAAUUAAGAUUUAUUGUAAAUAUUUUUGGUGCUUCAAAUACAAGUAUUAUAUUUCUUUAUUGAUUAAAUAUUCCUUGUCAAAGAGAUAGAAAUAUGUUCUCUUUAAAAUGACAAUUUCGAAAACGUGCACAUUAUAAUGUGCCAAUUGAUGGGUCAAUUAUACAAAUAAUAUUUGAUGAAACAAAACAAAUAUAUAUGCCCUCUAGUCGAUGAGCU